Molecule: long non-coding RNA, 64922 nt
Filed under: Triticum aestivum (bread wheat)
Lineage: Eukaryota; Viridiplantae; Streptophyta; Magnoliopsida; Poales; Poaceae
Description: long non-coding RNA (TAES_LNC026532)
Rfam family: MIR1120/MIR1122 microRNA precursor family (bases 5177-5300)
Source: RNAcentral
ACACAUACACAAACUGAAAAUAUCAAUGUAUUUAUUAUGAAUAUACAAGAGUGUGGGAUACCACUGUUACUGAUUGAAAAACACACCAUUCCUAUCAAUUUUACAAUAAAGAACACAUCUAUGGAGAAUAUUACACCAUAGCAUUUACAUCAAUUCAACCAAAGAAAAAGAUCUUCUAAAUGCUAUUACAUUUUUCUAUAUAUCAAUGUAAACUACAGUUAUUUGCUUUUUCAUCCAACCAAAGAAUUCAGUUGCAACUCAAUUAUGCUUCUUCUGAAUCUGCAAGAAAUAAAUGGACCUUAUGAUUAUGUGAUUAAAUUUAUACAAAUAUAAUUUUGUAAUAUGGAAGAAAAGACUCCAACUUACAAAAGCUGAAGGUCAGGCAAUUAAGUAUCCUGAAGUAAAAGUGUCAUCAAUUCUCUUGCAAUCAGAAACUUACCUUACCAACUCAUUAUCCAGAAUUGAUUCAUCUCUGCACACAAGUGAAAAUUCAGCACCUAACUAAAUAUCACAAACCAUAGUUUCUAGACCAGUACUUCGAAUAGUAGCAGAUGCAACAUUCCGCUGGUUUGGAUAUGUAGUCUUUAAAACUACUUUGGAUGCAACCUAUAUUAUGAUCAAUAUUAUUCAACGACAAUGAUAACAGAAUUUGCAUGAACAAUAUUUCAAUGGAUAUGCAUGACCAUUCACUUACUUAGGGAUACACAUUCAGGCUGCAAGUGGGACUAAUAGAGGAAUGCCCACACCAGCACACAUGUGUUAUGCGGGUGUUUGUGGGCAGCCCACAAUCAACCAUGUUGUGUCUGCUUGCCCAGAUAAUCCCAUUUAAUCCCACAUAGUAGUAAACUACUGCGCUAUUGUAUUAAGAGUUUCGACAGUCACCGAGUGGAUGAUGUGUGGUAAGCAACCACGCAAAAAAGAGUUGAGACAGUUCUACUUAGCUCUUGUACAAAUGAAGACUAACUUGUUGUAUCUGGACAUUAGUUGAACACAGCAGCACAAACACCUAUCAAUCAGGUCAGUACAUGAGCAAGCACAUGCAAAGUGGCCCCCAGUGCAAAGGCAUCAUCAUACUAUUGAGAAAUCAAGAGUAGAGCAUCUGUGUUUUGCUUGUGUUGUGUUGUAUGUGGGUGCUUGUUGUUGUGUUGGGCAUGUGUGUGUGUGUGUGUGUGUGUGCUUUCUAGUACCUAACCAAUGUACCCGCAAGAUGUUUUAUAACAGUACACAUUCCAUGGCAAAGUUAUAAAGAAUAUAAACACUCCUUAUGAAUUGUCAAGGAGCGCGACCAUAUGACUGCAUAAACAUAUACCUGGAAACCAGAAUCCAUGAUUACCGUGGCUUUAAUCAGCAUGGAAUUGAUAUGCAUAAGCCCUUGAGGCAUCGACACUAACCGAGCUUCUCGCAAACAUUCUGUAAGAGUAGAAUGAUAAAUAACUUGAGAAGGAAACAGAUGUACAGCCAAAAGCUAGACUAUAAACAUGCAGUAAAACCACAUAUUCAAAAAAUAUGGAAUUACAUGUAGAACCUAUUUUGCACAUAAUGUAACCAGGAUGGAUACUUGGUAAAAGGUGGUGGUAUCUUACAUUUACCUAAAUAAAAAAGUAACCAGGAUGGGUACUUGGUACAAGGUGAUGCUACCACCCAUUCGAUUAUAUCAAACUAGCAUAUGAGAUUGAGAUGCGAGAUAUAUAAAAAUUAAAAAUGGAAAUGAAUAGAAAAGCUUCUGCUGUAUUUUCAUAGUGAUUAUUGGGAUAUGCUACACUAAAAUAAUCAUACAUCUACUAGAACCCUUACCAUGAAAAGCACUAUGUAUUACACACAUUCCCUGUCAGUAAAGUAGAUGUCCGUGUUGCUCUUCACAAUCUCUACUGUCCAAUCUGAUGUACGUAGUUUGCCGAGUGCAACACUAGGCAAAGGGGCAAGCCUUUGCUGAAGUUGACACUCGGUAGACCUAUUUAGCUGAAUUAAAAAAAAUUGCACAGGUAUUCGCGUAUGUACGGAUAUGUGAUGAGUAUUCAGGUAUGUACAUCUCCACCACGGGAGGAACAACAAGUACUACUAUUAUUACCAGGAGAAUAAAUUAGCAGCGGGCAUGUACCCUCGACGCCGGCCACGCAUCUUGCUCCUGUUUCCUCUAGUACACAUACAAGCAAGCAGCCUGCUGGAUGGAUUAUUGUGGAAGCUAGCUUACAUAUGGGCGAUGGAUCGAUUCCUCGUGGAUGCUAGCAGAUGGACGAGGACCGGUGGCUCCUAUCGCGGGAGGUGCGCACCAUCCAUGCGCUCGUGCUACUCAAGACUCUUCAACUCUUCAUGGCCGCCGAACGGAGAGAUGGCUGCCGACGGCGCCGGCUGGAUCUGCCCAUGGUUCUGGCGGCUGCGCGCUCCUCAUGGCCGCCUCCUCGGGCCUGGUGGGGAGGAGGGAACGUCCCCGAGGCGCACGGUUGCGUCAGCGACCUACAAAGAAAGGGGCGAGCGGCGGCAGCAUGAGGCCCUCAGGCUAGCGGCGGUGACUUGUGGCGGCUUCCAUGGCAAGGCGUGCGUGGAGUAAAUAGCAUAAAAUUACUACUUUACAGGCUAGGGUUUCAAAAAACUAUCGGUUUUUAAUUUUUCUUAGAUAACUACCAAAUAAGUGGUCGGCUGUUUCAAAAAACCCAAAUCGCCGAGUCUUUAUCAGUUGAUCACGAUUACGACAGUUCGGGCCCACAUGUAAGAUAACUGUUUGUUUGGCCGUUUACUUUGACCGUUAACUUACAUGUGAGUCCCACAUGUAAGUUUUUUAAAAAGCAAUCGGGUCCUUGUAAGUUUUCUGAAAAAAGCAAUCGGGUCCCUGUGACUUUUUUGAAAAAAGCAAUCGAGUCCCCAAUGCAGCCAGAGCUCGAUCCCGAUCGGCUGGGCAGUGAUGCUUCCUCCGGCCGGCGAGCCGCGCCUCCAACGGCGGAAUCCACGUCGUGCACAACCUAAGGCCGGCCAGCCGUGCCUGCAGCGGCUGGAUCCAUGCCGGUCAUCGCAUAAGGCCGGCGAGCCGCACCUGCAGCGGCCACACUGUCGUGCCUUGCCUGCGGCCGCCGCCACGCCAUCCCUGCCGCUUCGUCGUGCCUCGCGCUCCGGCCACACCAUGACUUGCGACUCCCCUGCCGACUUGCCUGCGGCCGCCGCCAUCCCCUGCCGCGAGCUCCUCAAGCUCGACGCGACGACCUGCACCGCUCGUGGAGUGCACACCUCUCGUCGCUGCGGACGAGGCUGGCCUCGUCACCACCGUCGCCACCUGGAGCUCCAACGAGCACCUACCACGAUUGUUGGGACGCUGGGGAGGAGAUGGAGGGUCGUCGCCGGCUUGGGAUGGGGGGAGGGGCACCGGCUAAGGGAGAGGGACGAAGGCUUUGGGGGGGUCGCCGGCUUGGGAGGGGAGGGGGUCGCUGGCUCGGGAGGGAGAGGGCCAGCACGGGAGGCAUAGAGGAGGGAAGAAAAGAGAUAGAGAGGAAGAAGAAAGAGAAGAGGAAGAUGGAACUUACAUGUGGGCUCCACAUGUAAGUUAACGGUCAAACUAAGGUCAAACUAACGGUUUGUUUAGGUGCGGGCCCGACCUGUCAUAAUCAUGAUCAACUGAUAGAGACUCGACGAUCUGGGUUUUUUGAAACAGCCGACCACCCAUUUGGUAGUUAUCUGAGAAAAAUUAAAAACCGGUAGUGUUUUGAAACCCUAGCCUGUAAAGUAGUAGUUUUAUGCUAUUUACUCGCGUGCGUGUGAAAGGAUAAGGAGAGAGGGGAGAUAAAGGAUAGGGCACCCACAGGACCGCAGCCGUUGGAUCAACGACGAAUCCAAUGGUUACAACGUGUGAUCCAUGAGAGGGCUACCCUGACCAAUAAAAACGCAUUGUAUUUUUUAGUGCAAUAUAAAUGUUUUCAGGCUCCACAAUUAUAAUAAUAUUUAUUUUCUUUUUUCUUUUCCUUUUCAGUACUUUCUUUCCUUCGCCUUUUCUUUCUUCGGUUCUGUUUUUGAAUAAGGCCUAUGCAAUGAUUAAAGGAUAUAAAUAUGAUUUGUUAACCCAAAAAAUUCCAAACAUUUUAUACACUACAAUUUAAAUAUGAAUUAUAUGCACUAAACGUACAAAAGUAGUUACAAAUCUCUAAAAUCUAUGAUACAUGGGAACUGUCCUUCAAAUAUGGUCUACUUUCUGUGAAAAUUGGAGUGGUGCUAUUUUACACCCACGUUUUGUACUUGCUUAAAAAAAUACCCAUUUUUACACGGAGAAAAUAUAAAAGAUUUUUUCAUACAAAAAUUAGAAACUCUAGUUUUCAACAUUGUUUGUAAUAGCAAGAUGCUCCUACAUGCCCAAUUUGGACACAUUAUCAUAAAAUAUGCAAUGAAUAUGACCAUCAAUUUGAAAAGUCAUGAAUAUUCAUAUAUGACACCUCAUUUUGUGAAGGAUUUUUUCCAGAAUUAUCAUAUGCAGGUUUGGUAUUUUUCCUCAUGACUUGUACACGUAAAAGGACUCAAUGCGAAAGGAUUGCAUUGAUUGAAUUUAUAUUCUUCUUCUUUCUUUUUUCUUCAAAAUGGUGCCAUCAAANNNNNNNNNNNNNNNNNNNNNNNNNNNNNNNNNNNNNNNNNNNNNNNNNNNNNNNNNNNNNNNNNNNNNNNNNNNNNNNNNNNNNNNNNNNNNNNNNNNNNNNNNNNNNNNNNNNNNNNNNNNNNNNNNNNNNNNNNNNNNNNNNNNNNNNNNNNNNNNNNNNNNNNNNNNNNNNNNNNNNNNNNNNNNNNNNNNNNNNNNNNNNNNNNNNNNAGGGGAUAAUGAUGGAUGUGCUAUGUGAGAGAUUCAUCAAUUAUAAUACAUAGGUUUCCCAUAAUCACGGGAUCAUCUGAUCUUAUCGUAUCCCCCAUAAAUAGUUAUGAAACUACCAGCCCACCUACCUAUAUAAGAAACCGCGCCGAGGCUCAUCAAAGCGGGAACAUUGCAGAGGAUCUUGGCAUGUACUCUAGCUCCAAGUAGAUCGAUGCAUCACUAUUUAUAAGACACGUCAAACAACAGCGACAAGGCUACUGGCUAUUGUCAGUGUCACGGGAAACGGGUUGUCCGAAGCACCCUAUAAUUGUGUGCCCUAGCAUGCAAUUGAUCAAACCAUAAAUUUAACUAUGAUGUGGUACGACCAAUGUGAAUUUUACUAUAACAUGAGAUUACAAUCUACUCCCUCCGUCCGGAAAUACUUGUCCUAAAAAUGGAUAAAAUGGAUGUAUCUAUAACUAAAAUAAGUCUAGAUACAUUCCUUUCUAAGACAAGUAUUCCCGGACGGAGGGAGUACUAAUUAAUAUAAAAAACAUUAAGGUUGAAGAAGACUCGCCACUUGUGUCCUUGGUCUACUAUCCCGACGGCUAAAUAGAGCAUGCUUCUCUACCACACGAAAGCUAGCAUCUUUGGUCUGCUAUCCUGCCUGGUUCAACUCUGACCUCCCUUCGCUCCAGUACAACGCUGACCAGAACUCCCUCUGGUUCACCAGUCCAGGAGCAGCCAAGCAGGACAACCUUGAUGCCUGACAGUCACCUACGGACCUGCCUCCACUCCGGACCAAGGCGCCCGGCCGAUGCUGGUAAGAUCCCUCUCUACUCUUUUGUGCCUUCCAUUCUUCUACCAAAAUGGGUUUGUAGGAUCCAUGAUAUGCUCCCCUGAAUCCUGUACAUAUACCACUCCAUGGGGGACGAUUUUAGGUUUCCUACAAAAAAAUAUGUGGAUGGGCCAAGAUGCGGGAUCUGCUAGUCAGUUUUUGGCCCAUACACUGCAUAUCGGUAUGAUUUUUGUGGAUCCGGCAAAUAUGUUGGAUCUGUUAGAGUUGCUCUUAGCUCGGUAUACAAGAGGUAACAUCUAGGUUGCCCCCAGGAUGAGCAUAAAUGUUACUUUCAUGGUUACCUAUAUAAAGGGCUCUUCUUGCCAACAAGCUCCCAAAUUUUACAUCUGAUGUCAAAUGAAACGUCACAUACGACAACAAAAAAUUACAUCUCAUCGUGAGAAACAAUUUUUUUUGACAAUUUUAAUUUGAAUUCAUAUGCAAAAAUAACUGUGAAAUUAUUGAUUCAAUGACAUGCUCCAACGAAUUUGAAUUUUUGCGUUGUUUGAUUUGGAUGUGUUUAAUUUCUAGGGUUAUAACAUAUUAAAAUAUGGAGAGAGCUCAUACACUUCUUGUGGCGCAAGCAACGCCAACUAACGCUGAAGCGCCGUCGGCCGACCAAGUUAAGCGAGGUCGCUCGUCCCAACUCGCUCGCUCGCUCGGCUGUUUCAACUCGUUCACCAUAGACCAGUUUAGAAUUUGAAAAUUGUUCGCAUGUUAAUAUAUGUUUGUGGCUUUGAAAAAUGUUCACGAAUUUGAAAAAAGUUCAUGAAUUUCAAAGAAACGUUUGCCGAUUCUAAAAACAGGUCUGGAAUUUGAAAAAAUGUUCACGAACUAGAAAAAUUCUCAAAUUUGAAAAAGUUCAUAAAUUUUACAAACUCUAAUAAAUUCCAAAACAAUUCUUAAAUUCUUAAAAAUGUUUAUGAACUUGAUAAAAUUUCCAGUGUAAAAAAACACUUAUAGAAAAAAAUCCAUGAGUUUGAAACAAAUCGCGUCAAAAAGUUUCCUUUUUGCGAAAAAUAAAAUUUUCACAGACUCGAUCUUUUUGUGAAUUUGAAAAAAAAUGCGUCUACAAAAAAUUUCAUGAAUUUAAAAAAGAAGUUCUCAGAAUUUUUUAGAAAGCAUUCAUAAUUUUUUUGCAAUUAGCAAAAAAUUCCAAGAAGUUCAGGAGAAAAAUUCACGAAUUUGAAGAUCUUUUUAAAGAAAAUUUAAAUGGAUAAAAAAUAAUAAGAAAAGAAGAUAUAGGAAGAAGAAACCAAAAACCGUAAAAAACUAACAAAAAACUGAUGAAAAAAUCCCAGUAGGAAAAGAAGGGAAUCUGGGUGGAAGCUUCCAGAAGGAAAAGAGGGCCGGAUUCACGGAAACGCAGCCUAUUUUAAUAAUAUGAGACCAUCUAUGUUUCUGAUGGGCCUUGGCGUUGCUCAAAAAUAUCUAAUGGGCCUUGGCGUUGCUCAAAAAUAUCUAAUGGGCCUUGGCCGAGCGUCGUUCCUUUUCUUUAAUAAUAGCAUAAUUAUUUAAAUUAAGAAUAAUAGCGAAUGGAGUACAUUGGUAAUCACUUGUUUACCCGUGCAGGUGGUAGCAGGUUCGAUUCUUGUAGGAAUCAUUUUUAUUCCUCGUUGCAAUAGGAGAACCUCCAACUUCCUUUCUUCCUGUAUUAACUCAUGUUCAUUUUAUUUUGUUCACACAUAUCAAAUAUCCCCCUUUGUUCAUUUUAUUUUGUUCAUGCAUGUCAAAUGGUCCUGGGUUCUGUUGGGAUGUUUAGCCGGUCUCACUUGUUUACAGGCUACAUGUUCUCAAUUUUUGUUCACACAUAUCAAAUAUCCCCCUUUGUUCAUUUUAUUUUGUUCACGCAUGUCAAAUGGUCCUGGGUUCUGUUGGGUUGUUUAGCCGGUCUCACUUGUUUACAGGCUACAUGUUCUCAAUUUUUUUAUAGCAAGAUUAUAUAUAUGUCAUGGAAAAUGUUCAAGACCUUUGUACAUGUACAACCUUGUCAUGGACAAAGAUUGUUGGGAAAGUCAAUUGAGUGAAAAUUUGAACCUAUAUUUGUAAGCAUUGUGGCACUAUUCCUCUUUAUUAAAAUAUGGUUUACACUUAUUGUUUUUUUAAUUAAAGUUAUAUAUCUUGUAACACUAUGCAGCAACACAGGAUUAUGUGUUAUUGUACCAAUAGUUUGUCACACACCUGGAGCAACACGCACUUAUAUGUUACUCUGGCUGGUAACACAUUUUCGAACCUUAUCAACUAUGUGUUACUCUUCGCGCUGCAACACAGACGAUGUGUUACUGCAAUUAUUGUAUGUAACACAUUUUUCUAUAUGUUACAUAAUUGUGUUACUUAAUCUUUGUUUUGUUGUAGUGACAAUGGAAAAUAACAUAAGAAUCAAACAUCAAAGAGAUAACAUGAAGAGCUCACGCAGAUCGACCGCCAUCAUCAAAAGUCGAUUUUCUUCCUCCAAGAACAACUCUCAUCGACACUCUCUCACGUAUAUAUGGUGGACGCUCUCGCUGGUGGUGGUAUAUAUGGUGGACACUCUCUCACGGGUAUUUCAAAUUUCGGUGAUGGUUGAGCUGGGUGAGCCCCUCGUGCGUUAUCAAGAUAUAACAUAAGGAGCUCACACAGAUCAACCGUCAUCGCUCCAAAGUUAUUUUUUCUUCCUCCAAGAACAACUCUCAUCAAGACUCUCUCACGUAUCUCAUCGGUCACAUGCAUAUGAUCAUCACUCGCUCAAGAUAAAAAUUACUACUCCGUCCCACAAUACAAGUCGUUUUUUGACAAACAACAAAAUCUAAUAGAUGCAAACAACAAAAAAUCCAUACAUACAUCCACACAUAGCAUCCAUGCAUACAACAUUAUCAACAAUUAUCUACAUUUUUUCUUUUGAUAAAGAAAAAAUGUAUCUACACGGCAUCCAUCCACCUAUCAACCCAUCCAUCUAUCUAUCCAUCCAUCUAUCUAUGCAUCCAUCUAUCAACCCAUUUAUCUAUGCAUCCAUUUAUCAUGUUAUCUAUGCACACAUGGAGAGGAGGAGGGGGGGGGGCUCACCGGAGGGAGAGCUCGGUGUGGUGGUGGUGGGGGGUGGUGGUGGAGGGGGCACCGUCCGGUGGAGGGGCGCCGGUCGGUGGGGAGCAGAGGAGAGAAGAAACAACAGGGGGAAUAUGCUUAAGUAGUCGACAUCACCUUUACCAACACUACAAGAAAUCUGUUAAUCCAUGAUGGAUUUCUAGUGACGUAUUCGUAAAUCGUCACGGAAACCGUCACGGAAACCGUCAUGGACCAAGAAUAUGUAAAUGGGAUCCAAAACGGUAGCCCUUUUGUGAUGGACAUCGAGGGACCGUCACGGAAACCGUCAUGGAUCAGACACUUGGGCCUAGUCGGGCCUAGAGUUUUUUUUGUUUAUAUUGUAUUGGACCUCAUGGAUAACUCCUGCUGAUAAGUCGUAUAUGUGACCCACAUGUUAGUCAGAUGUAGUCAACAUUAUAAAUACAAGAAAAGAUAGACCAAAACUUACAGAGCGCUGAUACGUCUCCAACGUAUCUAUAAUUUUUGAUUGCUCCAUGCUAUAUUAUCUACUGUUUUGGGCAAUAUUGGGCUUUAUUAUCCACUUUUAUAUUACUUUUGGCACUAACCUAUUAACUGGAGGCCCAGCCCAGAUUUGUUGUUUUAUGCCUAUUUCAGUUUUUCGAAGAAAAGGAAUAUCAGACGGAGUCGAAACGGAACGAAAUCAAUUGAAGAAGUUAUUUUUGGAAGGAAACACACCUGAUGAACUUGGACCCCACGUCAGGGGAAACACGAGGUGCUCACGAGGGUGGGGGCGCCCCCCUAGGGCACGCCCCCUGUCUCGUGGGACCCCCGUGGCUCCUUGGACGUCCUCCCUGCACCCAUAUAUACACACGUGACCUAAAACUUCCAGAACGCAAGAUAGAUCAGGAGUUCCACCGCCAGAAGCCUCCGUAGCCACCAAAAGUCAAUCGGGACCCUGUUCCGGCACCCUGCCGGAGGGGGGAACCCUCACCGGUGGCCAUCUUCAUCAUCCCGGUGCUCUCCAUGACGAGGAGGGAGUAGUUCUCCCUCGGGGCUGAGGGUAUGUACCAGUAGCUAUGUGUUUGAUCUCUCUCUCUCUCGUGUUCUUGAUUUGGCACGAUCUUGAUGUAUCGCGAGCUUUGCUAUUAUAGUUGGAUCUUAUGUUUCUCCUCCCCCUCUUCUCUCUUGUAAUGAAUUGAGUUUCCCCUUUGAAGUAAUCUUAUCGGAUUGAGUCUUUAAAGAUUUGAGAACACUUGAUGUAUGUCUUGCCGUGGAUAUCUGUGGUGACAAUGGGAUAUCGCGUGCCACUUGAUGUAUGUUAAGAUGAUCAACUUGCGGGUUUCGUGACAUUGGGAACCUAUGCAUAGGGGUUGACACACGUUUUCAUCGUGAUUCUCCGGUAGAAACUUUGGGGCACUCUUUGAGGUCCUUUGUGUUGGUUGAAUAGAUGAAUCUGAGAUUGUGUGAUGCAUAUCGUAUAAUCAUACCCGCAGAUACUUGAGAUGACAUUGGAGUAUCUAGGUGACAUUAGGGUUUUGGUUGAUUUGUGUCUGAAGGUGUUAUUCUAGUACGAACUCUAGGGCUGUUUGUGACACUUAUAGGAAUAGCCCACCGGAUUGAUUGGAAAGAAUAACUUUGAGGUGGUUUCGUACCCUACCAUAAUCUCUUCGUUUGUUCUCCGCUAUUAGUGACUUUGGAGUGACUCUUUGUUUCAUGUUGAGGGAUAGUGAUGUGAUCCAAUUAUGUUAGUAUUGUUAAGGGACCUUACACUAGCGAAAAUAUGAACCCUAGGCCUUGUUUCCACACAUUACAAUACCGUUUACACUCACGUUUAUCACUUGCUACCUUGCUAUUUUUAUUAUUUCAGAUUACAAAAACUAUUAUCUACUAUCCAUAUACCACUUGUAUCACCAUCUCUUCGCCGAACUAGUGCACCUAUACAAUUUACCAUUGUAUUGGGUGUGUUGGGGACACAAGAGACUCCUUGUUAUUUGGUUGCAGGGUUGCUUGAGAGAGACCAUCUUCAUCCUACGCCUCCAACAGAUUGAUAAACCUUAGGUCAUCCACUUGAGGGAAAUUUGCUACUGUCCUACAAACCUCUGCACUUGGAGGCCCAACAAUGUCUACAAGAAGAAGGUUGUGUAGUAGACAUCAAGCUCUUUUUUGGCGCCGUUGCCGGGGAGGUGAGUGCUUGAAGGUAUAUCUUUUGAACUUGCAAUCGAGUCUUUUAGUUUCUUGUUUUAUCACUAGUUUAGUUUAUAAAAGAAAACCAUAAAAAAUGGAAUUGAGUUUGUCUCAUACUCUUCACCUCUUAGUUUCUUGUUUUAUCACUAAUUUAGUUUAUACAAGAAGAAAUCUAUAAAAUGUUUGGCACAAAAUCUUUGAAUGAUGAGCAUGAUUGCAAUGUUGUUAGUAUGAAUUCCUUCAAUAUCCAUGAUGCUAAUGAUAUGCAAAGCCACAAGCUUGGGGAAGCUAUGUUUGAUGAGGAUGAUAUUUUUUGUCCCCCAAGCUUUGAUGAGCAAAUUUAUUAUGAUGAAAGCAUGCCUCCUAUCUAUGAUGAUUAUUGUGAUGACACAUAUGCUUUAAGGAAUAAUGAUAACCAUGAAACUUGUCAUCUUGAUCUUAAUUUUCAAUCACAUGAUAGUUAUUUUGUUGAGUUUGCUCCCACUAUUAUUCAUGAAAAGACUUUUGCUUGUGUGGAGAGUAGUAAAUUUUCUAUCCUUGUAGAUCAUGAAAAGAAUGCUUUAGGUGCUGGUUAUAUUGUUGAAUUCAUUCAUGAUGCUACUGAAAAUUAUUAUGAGGGAGGAAUAUAUGAUUGUAGGAAUUGCAAUAAUAUCAAGUUUCCUCUCUAUGUGCUUAAAAUUUGAAGUUAUGCUUGUCUUAAGCGUGGUCCGUGGCCUACCCCCUCUAUCGGUGCCGGUCAACUUCCUAGACCCUGGUCACGGUCAACCGUGGUCCCCAUAAUAAGUGGCUGGCGCCAACAGCAGUGUGCACACAUCCACAUGAAACCUGGGAACCAAUGGAUGGCUGUGAUAAUGGGUACCGUGUACGUUUUGGACGCGACGACAGCCCUGGUGUUGGAUCGUUAAAUCACAGGCAUGACUACUUAUGGAUGAUAGACUUUAAAUCUCCUAGACUCCCACGACAUGUCUUGAUCUCACAUACGAUAUGAUAGACACGAUGCGGAUGAUAUAUUUUUGGAGGAAAAAACAAGCAUUGACCGCAUCGUUUGGUUUCUUUUGCCUUUCCUAUAGGAGUACAUGUGUGUCCAAAGUGUGGCCGCAUGAAACGAUUGUGUUAUUCUGGUCCAAACCGUUAUGUAGAUCUAUUUUUAUAUCUCAGCCAUCAAUCUCUAAGAUUAACACAAAAUCAACGGAUAUAAAGAUGUGACAUAUGGAGAACUAUGAAAGUCUCCGUUCAUUAAUAUUAGGUAAAGAUAAAGAUAUAUAUGCUUUUUGGGUUAGAUUUGUUCAAAACUAAACUUUAAGAGUGUAAAGUAAAAAACAUGAGAAGAAGCAGUUGUUGACCGUGGCCUACCCCCUCUCUCGGUGCCGGUCAACUUCCUAGACCGGCACCGAGAGAGAACUUUAUAGAGUGUAAAGUAAUAAACAUGAGAAGAAACAGUUGUUGACCGUGGCCUACCCCAUCUCCCGGUGCCAGUCAACUUCCUAGACCGGCACCGAGAGAGAACUUUAAAGAGUGUAAAGUAAAAAAACAUGAGAAGAAGCAGUUGUUAACCGUGGCCUACCCCCUCUAUCGGUGCCGGUCAACUUCCUAGACCAACACCAAGAGAGAACUUUAAAGAGUGUAAAGUAAUAAACAUGAGAAGAAGUAGUUGUUGACCGUGGCCUACCCCCUCUCUCGGUGCCGGUCAACUUCCUAGACCGGCACCGAGAGAGAACUUUAAAGAGUGUAAAGUAAUAAACAUGAGAAGGAGCAGUUGUUGACCGUGGCCUACCCCCUCUCUCGGUGCCGGUCAACUUCCUAGACAACAGGGGUCACCGGAUGGCCCAUGCAUAUACAUGCGAUGGCCUCCUUUGAGAGCACGAGAACUUUUGAGGCUAACGGAGCAACAGGACCCGCACUUCCUGCACAAACCAGACACAUUCCCUCUCGAUACCCAUAGACUAUCUCGAAGAACGGGCCUAGACUUGGUAUGUCAUCUCGCGAUGACAUGCACUAACAUGGAGAAUACGUUAUUCAUCAUGGACUACACACUCUCGGUGCCGAUCAAAGCCCUAGACCGCCGGGGCCACCGGAUGGGUGCUCGAUCUAGAGACCGCCCGAGGGGGGAACCCCUACAUGCGUGUGGCCCAUGCAUAUGCAUGCAGGGGUGGUGUGCUAUUUGAAUAAGCAACACACGUCCUUGACGUGGCAUAUGCCUCACAAACCACACACACGGGGCGGGAACGUCAAGGAUGUCCUAUAGAAGCACUAUUCUGAUCCUAGGAUCAGAAUAGUUAUACGGAUCACGGUCGGCCCUAUGUAGCGCGCGGAGGUCUUCCCGAACUCUGAUCCGGUAGGAAAAGAAAAAACUGACUGGCAUCCUCGACUUCCCAUCCUGCGCCGCCCCACCCAUAGAACGCGCCCCCACCACAGGCCCAGCCUGCGCCGCCGCCCCUGCGACUCCGGGCGCCGCCGCACUCGGCAAUCUCGCGACUCACCGUCCCCUGCGACCUCGGUCGCCGCCGCCCUCCCGGCACCAGCACCUGCUCUCCAGCACGCCUCCCGCCGCCACCCCUGUCCAUGGCACCUCCUCUCCGGCCCGCCUCCCGCCGCCACCCCCAGCCCCAGCACCUCCUCUCCGGCCCGCCUCCCGCCGCCUCCUCUCCUUCUCGGAUCCGCCAACAUCCCUGCCAACACACACCGCUUCCCAAAUCCUCCUAACGACUGAGGCCCGGCCAACCACCCUCCGUGGACCAGCUGUGCUGGCGCCACCGUGAAUCCUCACCGCACCAUUGCCCCACCACGCAGGAGAUCCCGUGCAGGUCUGCCCCAUGCUCCUGUAGGUCGACUGCGCCACCGCACGAAGUUCACCGACCAGAUGCUUCGGCUGGAUCCGUCGCUGGUGCGUUGCCUCAGUUAAUCUCCGCCGACGCCCAUACAGCUUCCCAAUUCCGGCCGACCUCAGUGCCGUUGAGCUCCCUUUCCCAUCCGGCUGGGCCUCCUCAUCCAACAUGCAGCCUCGCCGUGGCCAAGAGCGACGCUAACUCCAUCAAAGUCACAGCCGCGUCCGGCUGGACAGCAGCCCACAUGGCAUCGGUGUUCGCACCAGGAACACGCAUGUUGCGGUUGUGGAAUCUUCCUAGGCUCUACAUCGCGCUAUACUUUUGUACGAUGGUAGCUAAGUCAGCGAAUUUCAGUAUGCGGCGACGAUUGAUGGAAUUGAGGAUUCCUUCGUCUGCGCAAUUGUUGCAGAACGCUGAUAUUACAUCCUCGUCAUGGCAAUAUUUUACCUUGUCCUUGACAAGGAGGAAUCUGGCCCAGAAGUGGUGGACCGUUUCCCAAGACAGCUGAUUUAUGCUUAUGAGAGCGUCUAUGUCUGGGUGGGUGGGUGGAAUUAAAUCUGAACCCCGACCUAACUUAUUACCCGGAGUCUGACGACCUUCCGGGCUUAACAGUCCGGGUUCCGUAAUAUCUUCUGAUUGUUUAGGACUACCGUCCGAUGCUAUGUUCGGAGGGCUGGUCGCAUCCUUUCGUGGGUGAGUAUCCGGCUCUUCCUGAACGGCGAUCCGAGCAUAGUCCGUCUUCGAUAUAGAAGAAGACUCACCGUCCUGCUCCACGACCACCACAAUCUGGUGGGUGACCGGUGGGGCCUUGAUUUCUUCUUGAUCGGUUUUAGGCCUGAUCCGAUCGUAGUCUGUGGCGAUUCCCAAAGCGGCGAUGCGAUCUAGGAGUUCAUUCAAAGACGAAAAAUCUGUCGGAUCCAUCUUCUUGGAGUGCUCGGAGUUAAUGCGAAGGGGGUUUUCGAUGGCCCGAGAGGUCAUCGUCCGCUCAACGGCCGAACGGGCGAUCAUAGUAAUGCCGCCCAGCCGGAGGGUUUGGCCUGGGGCCAGAGCUCCCCCGGAGGUGAUGUUGUCUUUAAGGACAAGGCGAGCCAUCGAGCCUUUCAUCGACGACACAGUGAAACUCUCAAUGAAAGCACCAAUGUCGGUGUCAAAACCGGGGGAUCUUGGGUAGGGGGUCCCAAAUUAUGCGUCUAGGAUCGAUGGUAACAGGAGACGGGGGACACGAUGUUUACCCAGGUUCAGGCCCUCUCCAUGGAGGUAACACCCUACGUCCUUCUUGAUUGGUCUUGAUGAAUCUGAGUGUUAUAAGAAUUGAUCUACCACGAGAUCGUAAUGGCUAAACCCUAGAAGCUUAGCCUGUAUUACUAUGGUAAUGAAUAUAUCCUUUCCGGACUAACCCCUCCGGUUUAUAUAGACACCCGGGGGGGGGGGGGUCUAGGGUUACAUAGAGUCGGUUACAUAAGAAGGAAUCUUCAUAGUCGGUCGCCAAGCUUGCCUUCCACGCCAAGGAGAGUCCAAUCCGGACACAGGUACAGUCUUCGGCCUUCAUGUCUUCACAGCCCAUCAGUCCGGCAAAUGGAUAACAUGCCGGACGCCCGAGGACCCCUUAGUCCAGGACUCCCUCAGCGACCUCCAGAUUAACACGCUCUAGACUUUUUUUGUCGCAGGUGAUGGAGAAGCCUGCCAAGGUGUACCUGGGGUCGGCGAGGAAGUUGUGGAAGAUGGUGCACCUUUCAGCGGCGCUCAGUUGGAAGAGAAGCACCGAGUGUUUCUUGCCGAUGGAGAGUUAGCAGAGGGCGGGUUUCUGCAUCGCUUCAGACUCGUUGUUGUACUCGAGAUCAAUGCCGACGAUCUUGUGGCACUGGAGGGUGAGGUGGUGGUCGUACUGCGCGAGGGUGAUCGCCAUCUGCUUCUUGUCAUUGGUGUGGAUGACGUGCAACUUGGUGUUGCCGUGGGCCUCCACACCCUGGUACUCGUGGGCGAACGCCAUGGCCGGUAUUAGGGCUUGGUGUUUUGUGUGUAGAUUGAUGUGAUGGAGCAAUUUGGUGGCAGCAUAAUGGAUACUUGUGUAGUUGUGUAUGAUAAGGCCUUUGGCAGGGGUCUGAAAUUAAGGGGAGGACGCGGGGUGGGAUGGACGCAUCGGAUGAACUACACGAUCUCGCUGACGAUGCGAUUGUGCAGAUCGUGGGUUGGUGUUGCGUUUGUGAUUGUGGGCUUGUGGCGAUGGAACCGCUUCGAUUGGGUGGUUGUAUGUGAACGUGGUUUUAAAUUUUUUUGAUCAGUAAUUUUUUUAACCACCACUUUUUGUGCGAAUGGGCAUUUGUCACGUUUAUAUGUAUCCUCCGUGAUAAUGAAACUGCAUUGGUUAGAGUUCUACACUGCAUCGUCUACAAUAGAGAACUGCAUUUUUGCCUACAUGUGCGUACUUGACAGUUUUUUGCGUGUCCUUGCUGCAGCCCCUGAAUAAAGUACAAUGUAUUCCGCAAUUUUACGAGUUUUUUCCUAUGUUCUAUACCGUGUAUUUAUUCAUGUACGUAAUCCAGAACUGGAUUGCUAUACCGUACUGCUUCGUGUAACGAAAUGCACUGCAUUUUUCUAGUGCUGCGUACUACAUCUAUUUUUUUGCCUNNNNNNNNNNNNNNNNNNNNNNNNNNNNNNNNNNNNNNNNNNNNNNNNNNNNNNNNNNNNNNNNNNNNNNNNNNNNNNNNNNNNNNNNNNNNNNNNNNNNNNNNNNNNNNNNNNNNNNNNNNNNNNNNNNNNNNNNNNNNNNNNNNNNNNNNNNNNNNNNNNNNNNNNNNNNNNNNNNNNNNNNNNNNNNNNNNNNNNNNNNNNNNNNNNNNNNNNNNNNNNNNNNNNNNNNNNNNNNNNNNNNNNNNNNNNNNNNNNNNNNNNNNNNNNNNNNNNNNNNNNNNNNNNNNNNNNNNNNNNNNNNNNNNNNNNNNNNNNNNNNNNNNNNNNNNNNNNNNNNNNNNNNNNNNNNNNNNNNUGUUUUCUUAACAUGCGUGUUGUUUUUGAUUUUAACAUUUUUUUACAAACUGCAUUUAUUUUAUUUUGUUUUACCGUUUGAACUUCAUUGUUUUUCACAGAGAACUGCAUCAUGUGCAUUUUGAUGUAGUCUAUCUUAUUUUAGCCGGGCCGUUUUUGGGUCGUCCCGUUUUGUGUUACCCUUUGCCAGACGCGGGCCUCCUACGUGUCCCUUCUUGGCGAUCCCACUGCUCCGCUAACAGGGAGAGAGAUCGAGAACAAUCCCUUCUCAUGUCUUGAAGUUUCUCAUGAGGCAUCUCUCCCUCGAGCAAAACCAUCGUCGCCCGCAGCAACCGCCAUCGCCCGAGGAGUCUCCGCCCUCAAGAGGUUCUUAUUCCUGCAUUCCGCGUCAUCGUCCGCUCCGCGAGCUCUUGCCGCUGCGCUGCCGCAGCCCUCUCCUGUCCGUUCCCGUCGACGCACACCCCCGCCCCCUCCCCACCAUUGCCGCACCUUUUUUGUGGUACGUUCCGCUUGUCCUCGGUCUUGAUCGUCUCCUCGUCUUGUUUUGUGAUUCUCGUAGUUGUUGUUUCUAUUGUUGCUUGUGUAAUUUUUCUGUAGGCAGUCGAUUUUAUCUCGAUUUGAAGUCGAUACUUUUGUGUAGCAAGGUGGAUCUAGGGUUUCGUGAGAUUUUUGCCGAUUUUGUUGCUUAUAUCUAUCACUUCGUCCUUGUGCUGCAGGCAAACGCCAUGUCUUCGCCGAGCAAAGUGGGAGGAGGAGUUCAGGGUAUGUGGAGUGCUUAUUUUAGGCCUUUGUUUUAUUUUGUUUGAUGUUUAUCUAGUUUCCUAAAUUAUCCUGCAUAUUUGGUUUAUGCUCUGUUAGUUGUCAACGUUCAUUUGCAUUAUUUUGUUAUGUGAUGUUUUGUAAUUUCUUUUUCUGGUUCUUUUUGAAUCCAGUAGGUGAUUGCAAUACUCAUAAUGAUACACCAAUUGGCUCUCAUUGUUCUGGUGGUAAGGAUCAUGGUGUCGAUGGAGGACAUCAAUUGAAUUUACCGAUUGAAACUUCUCCCAUAAGUGUGGCCGCUCCUUCUGGUAUGUGAUUGAUUUGCUUAUUUUGUGUAUGUUGGUUACUUUGAUGUUGUACCAAUUGGCGUUGCCUUGCUGUAUCUAGUCUGGCAUUUUGUUGGUAACAAAUAUGAAGUUAGUGUAUGCAGCACUGCAUUUAUUUUGUAUAUGUGAACUCUACUAUAUAUAUGUAUGUGUGAACUGCAUUGUUGUUUUAUUCAAGUUUUUUGUGCAAUGCAUUAUUUUUUAUUUUUAGCUUAUGGUUGGAGCACUGCAUUUUAUAUGUCUAAGUGUACGUCAUUUGUUCUUUUUGUACACUUUUUAAGGACCAUAGUCAAACUUCAUUUUGACGCAGUGUCUGUUUUCCAUGCUGGGGCGCCUGGGUUUGGGGAGGUUACUCAAUUGAUUGACCAUUAUUUUGCAGAGGGUAAUGUUCGUGUGAUCUUUGACCGGAGACGUCCUGUUUUGUCUGAAACACAAUCGCAGUCUGUUGAUAGUACCGAAGAAGUUACACAAGAUUGGAUGGUCUCGGAACAUCUUCGUGAAUAUGAGUUGAAGCAAAGCAAGAAGAAGUUGAGGUUUGAAAGUGACACAAAAGAGUUUGCAGAGAAGGAGAAGCAGAGGAGGUUGGGAGCCGUUGCAUUUGGGUUCUCCGUUGCCCUUUGGUUGGGAGACGUUGCCUUUAGGUUCCCCGUUGCGAUUGGGUUGGGCAUCGUUGCUUUUAGGUGCUCCGUUGCCCUUGGGUAUCACUUGAAGUCAGUCGUACUUUGACCCCCUAGUCCCCACCCCGACCCCGCCGCCGGUCCUCAUUACUUCCAAACCCACGCAAUUCCCCCACUGCCGGUCAGCCUCUCCCGCCCCUCUCUAUAAGCCAGGACUCGUGGAUUCUUCCUCAACACGCUGACCUAUGCCUCCGCCGGCGUGCCUCCUCCUCCUCCACCAGCGUGCCUUCUCCCCGGUGGUAAGCCCGCGCCUCGCCUCCCCUCCUUUCCUCUCGUCGUCUAGGUUUCUUCCAUUCGCCCGACCAUGGCUUACCAAGCACACCGUUUAGGUUUCCUCUCGUCCUCCCCGGAGCUUACCAAGCACGCCGUCUCCGAGGGCACCAAUGCCGUCACCAAGUUCACCUCGUCUUAGAUCUCGCCCCCUGUUUCUAGAAGCAGUGCAGAGUACACCCAUGUGCGAGGAAGUUUUGUUUGUAGUUUCUUCAUCAUACCAAGAAUCAUUCAUUUGAUGUCGGUCAUGAUUAGUCGAUUAUUUGGUUUGUGAUACAGUUGCGCACCAAGUCUGCAAUUAUGUAAGAUUGGUCAUAUCUUAAUUGCGCACCAAAGCUUUAUAUUGCUUCCAUUUGGGAAACUGGCAAUGUCUUCAUUUAUUAUACUGGUCAUAUAGAUAGAAAAUAUUUCUAUCAAUCUGAUGCCAUAAUUGGGGUCAAUUGUUUUCUUGCCAUUCAUUAUAAUGUAUACAUGCCACUGAACAAACAUUCAAUCUUCACUAGCCAAAUACAAACGUGGCUACCACCCUCUGUUAAACUUGGUUGUAACAGAAUAUUGUGCUGAGGACCUGUUGUUACAGUACCAGUAUUUUUCUGCUUGAUAUCACUAAUAGGAUUCUAACUGGAGAUAAUUUAGCAAAACAUUAAAACGUGUGAGAUUUACUAGUGUAGGUUCUACGUUGUCUCUGGGUUUCCCCGUUGCUUUAGGUACGUCGUUGCCUAUGGGUUGUACUCCGUUGCUUUUGGGUUCUUCGUUGCCUCUGGGUUGCUUUUAGGUUCUAUGUUACCUAUGGGUUUUCCACCGUUGCUUUUGGGUUGGUCGUUGCCUCUGAUUGCCCCCCGUUGCUUUUAGGCUCUACGUUUCUUCUGGGUUGUCCUACGUUGCUUUUGGGUGCGACGUUGCCUCUAGGUUGUGCUCCAUUGCUUUUGGCUGCCUCGUUGCCUCUGGGUUGUCCUGGAGGCGGCGGUGGAAGACGGGGCUGGAGAUGGUGCGGCCCCAGUCCUUGCUGGUGAGGGAGGCGCGUAGGAGCGACACUGGCUCGUCGAGAGGGAGGCGGAGGAAGAUCUCUUCGACGAGGUCAUCCGGGAGCGCCGGCGGUGGCGUCACCACCAUGGUAGUAGCUAGGUCUGAGUGUGUGUGGGUGGAGUGGAAUGGGCUGGGCUCAACCACGCGGGCAGCUGAUGCGGCAGAGUAGGAGAAGGCGAGGACGUCUGAUCGUGGGGAGACUACUGGCUGUCAUAUUCCUCUUAAUUAUGUGCAAGUUUCUUACCCUUUUUAUGAUAAUUCUGCCACAAUUACUAAUUUGUACUUGCGUGAAGGCAUGAGUAGUUUUAAUUCUUCACCUUUAUAUUUUGCGUUGGUUAAAAUUUGAACACCCAAAAUUGAAUUCCUGGAUCCCUCCAUGACUCUCAUGUAGAUUUUGUAGGGUUUGGUUAUGUUUCCUUAUCUAAUGCAAACUUAUCUAUUUUUUCAUGUCAAUUGGUCAGGUGCAAUCUAGCCAAAAGCUGGUGUGACUUUUGUCAAAGGUCCAAAUAUGUCUACUGAGGAAGACCAGGACAAGGGGCCGAGGACGUGGUGCAAUCCUGGUAUCGUACUAGAUCUAAAUCAGAAACUUCCAGAUAGAGUGGUUGACAGGAUGAAUGAACUAUCUCUCAGUAAGAUGAUGCUGAGAUUGCAGCUACGAUCCUUUAGGUACAGAAAAACCUGUGGAGACCUUCUAAAGAAUUCUAUUGUUCAUGAAAAUGAGAUUGAAUUCCGCGUCAAUGAUCUUAAUUCACUGUGGAUCACAAAAGAUGUAGUUCAGCAUGUGCUCAACUUGCCACAGGGCUCUACGAAGGAGCUCCCAACUGAAAGUGCAGAAUCACCAGCAGAGUACGACAGGAUGUACGAUGCAAUCAAGUUUGUAAUGGUGAAACACCAGUGCAAGGGAGCGCCCAGCACUAGUAGAAAACAGGGCUUUGGUCCAGGCCGGGUCAGCCCAUUAGUCCCGGUUCAGUCCAGAACCGGGACCAAUGUGGGCAUUGGUCCCGGUUCGUGAGCCCAGUGGGCCGGCCGAGACACGUGGGCCAUUGGUCCCGGUUCAUCUGGACCUUUGGUCCCGGUUGGUGGGAUGAACCUGGACCAAUGGGCCUCGCUCCUGGCCCACCACCAUUGGUCCCGGUUGGUGGCUUGAACCGGGACCACAGGCUCCCCUUUAGUCCCGGCUCAUGCCACCAACCGGGACCAAUGAGGUGCCUAUAUAUACCCCUCGCUCGCGAGCAGAGCACCCCAGUGCUCUGUUUUUCUCUGGCCGAGGGGGAGAGGGCUUGGUGGUGCUCUAGCUCACCUCCUAUGCACACAAGGUGUUCGAUGGAAUGCCCGAGCCACACUACUUAAGCUUUCUCCUCUCCAAGCUCGACCUCCAAGCUCCAUUUUCCAUAAUAUUUGUCUAGGUUUAGCGGUCUGUCACGCCCCGUCCCCAUCUUCACCGCCGUCGAUCACCUGCGCCGAGCUCAUCGCCGGCACCACCGUGGUGAGCCUCUUGUUCUUAUCUUCUUUCUGAAAGGAAAAAUAUUCUUACUUGUAUGUUUACAUAGAUACUUGUAUUAUUUUCUUACUUUUAUUAUUGCAUCUUAUAUAGUGCGAUGGUUUUGGUAUCCGCCCCCGUCGGCCCUCGUCCUGUCUAUGAUUCGGAUGUGGUAUAUAUAUUAUCUUUAUAACUAUUGGUUCAUUUAUUGUUUAUGAAAAUUACGCCGACCAACGUGACAUAGAUUUUAUUUAUGUAGGAUGUAUGUGAAUCGGAAAUGCCAACCGACCCUAUUGUCGAGAGGUUAAAUUUAGUUGAAGAAGAAAACAAUUUGUUGAAGGAAAAAAUAAAAAAAAUUGAAGAGGAUAAGAUGAUAUUCGAGUUGCAUGUUGCGGAUGUCGUCGAUGAUAACAAGAUCAAGAUGGAUGCAAUGCGCUUGAAGAUUAGAAAGAUUAGAAAAUAUGCCAUUCAUACCGAGGCUUGGUAUCAUUAUGCCGUUGGAUCAAUUGUUACCUUGGUAGCGAUUAUGAUCGCAUUUGUUUUCGCAUUGAAAUGUUUUGCAUAGUUUCAAUGUAUGGUUUAAUUAAUUAUAUGCUCUGGAGAGCUAUAUGUUGUUAGAUGAGAACUAUGUAUGCACUUUGGUUUUAAUGUGAUGAUGAACUUCUAUUAAUUUGGACACUUAAUUAUAUAUAAUGCACGCAGAUGAACCGGCAAUGGAUGUACGGUGACAGACACACCCGCGAGUACAUUAAGGGCGUGCAUGAGUUUCUCGAUGUGGCUGAGGCAAACAAGCAGAAUGGUUUUAUGUGUUGUCCAUGCACUGAAUGUGGGAAUACGAGGUCUUACUCUAACCGUAAAAUCCUUCACUCCCACCUGCUUUACAAAGGUUUCAUGCCACACUAUAAUGUUUGGACGAGGCACGGAGAAAUAGGGGUUAUGAUGGAAGACGGCGAAGAAGAAGAGUACGAUGACAACUAUGUGCCCCUGAAUACGGUGAUGCUGCAACGAGGGGAGCUGGUGAAGAUCAAGAGGAACCAGACGAUGUGCCCAAUGAUGCUGCAACGGGUGAAGCUGCUGAAGAUCAAGAGGAACCAGACGAUGUGCCCGAUGAUGAUGAUCUCCGCCGGGUCAUUGUUGAUGCAAGGACGCAAUGCGAAAGUCAAAAGGAGAACCUGAAGUUCGAUCGCAUGUUAGGGGAUCACAAAAAAGGGUUAUACCCCAAUUGCGAAGAUGGCAACACAAAGCUCGGUACCGUACUGGAAUUGCUGCAGUGGAAGGCAGAGAAUGCUAUGGCUGACAAAGGAUUUGAGAAGCUACUGAAGAUAUUGAAGAAGAAGCUCCCAAAGGAUAACGAAUUGCCCGACAGUACAUACGCAGCAAAGAAGGUCGUAUGCCCUCUAGGAUUGGAGGUGGAGAAGAUACAUGCAUGCCCUAAUGACUGCAUCCUCUACCGCGGUGCAUACAAGGAUCUGAACGCAUGCCCGGUAUGCGGUGCAUUGCGGUAUAAGAUCAGACGAGAUGACCCUGGUGAUGUUGACGGCGAGCCCCCCAGGAAGAGGGUUCCUGCGAAGGUGAUGUGGUAUGCUCCUAUAAUACCAUGGUUGAAACUUCUGUUCAGAAACGAAGAGCAUGCCAAGUUGAUGCGAUGGCAUAGUGAGAACCGAAAGAAAGAUGGGAAGUUGAGAGCACCUGCUGACGGGUCGGAGUGGAGAAAAAUCGAGAGAAAGUACUGGGAUGACUUUGCAAAGGACCCAAGGAAUGUAUGGUUUGCUUUAAGCGCGGAUGGCAUUAAUCCUUUCGGGGAGUAGAGCAGCAAUCACAGCACCUGGCUCGUGACUCUAUGUAUGUAUAACCUUCCUCCUUGGAUGUUCAUGAAGCGGAAGUUCAUUAUGAUGCUAGUUCUCAUCCAAGGCCCUAAGCAACCCGGCAACGAAAUUGAUGUGUACCUAAGGCCAUUAGUUGAAGAACUUUUACAGCUGUGGAAUGGAAACGGUGUACGUACGUGGGAUGAACACAGACAGGAGGAAUUUAACCUUAAGGCGUUGCUGUUCGUGACCAUCAACGAUUGGCCCGCUCUCAGUAACCUUUCAGGACAGACAAACAAAGGAUACCACGCAUGCACGCACUGUUUAGAUGACACUGAAAGUAUAUACCUCGACAAAUGCAGGAAGAAUGUGUACCUGGGCCACCAUCGAUUUCUUCCGACCAACCAUCAAUGUCGAAAGAAAGGCAAGCAUUUCAAAGGCGAGGCAGAUCACCAGAAGAAGCCCGCCAUGCGCACCGGUGAUCACGUGCUUGCUAUGGUCAAUGAUUUAUAGUACAUAAUCUUUGGAAAGGGUCCCGGUGGCUAGCUAUUCCGAAUGAUGUUGAGGGACACACACCCAUGUGGAAGAAGAAAUCUAUAUUUUGGGACCUACCCUACUGGAAAGACCUAGAGGUCCGCUCCUCAAUCGACGUGAUGCACGUGACGAAGAACCUUUGCGUGAACCUGCUAGGCUUCUUGGGCGUGUAUGGGAAGACAAAAGAUACACCUGAGACACGGGAGGACCUGCAAUGUUUGCACGAAAAAGACGGCAUGCCUCCGAAGCAGUAUAAAGGUCAUGCCAGCUACGCUCUUACGAAAGAAGAGAAAGAAAUCUUCUUUGAAUGCCUGCUCAGUAUGAAGGUCAUGACUGGCUUCUCGUCGAAUAUAAAGGGAAUAAGAAAUAUGCCAGAGAAAAAGUUUCAGAACCUAAAGUCUCAUGACUGCCACGUGAUUAUGACGCAACUGCUUCCGGUUGCAUUAGGGGGCUUCUACCAGAAAACGUCCGAUUAGCCAUUGUGAAGCUAUGUGCAUUCCUCAAUGCAAUCUCUCAGAAGGUGAUCGAUCCAGAAAUCGUACCAAGGCUAAGGAGUGAUGUGGCACAAUGUCUUGUCAGUUUCGAGCUGGUGUUCCCACCAUCCUUCUUCAAUAUCAUGACGCACGUCCUAGUUCAUCUAGUCGAUGAUUUUGUCAUCCUGGGGCCCGUAUUUCUACACAAUAUGUUCCCCUUUGAGAGGUUCAUGGGAGUCCUAAAGAAAUAUGUCUGUAACCGUGCUAGGCCAGAAGGAAGCAUCUCCAUGGGCCAUCAAACAGAGGAUGUUAUCGGGUUUUGUGUUGACUUCAUUCCUGGCCUUAAGAAGAUAGGUCUCCCUAAAUCGCGCUAUGAGGGGAGACUGACUGGAAAAGGCACUCUUGGAAGAGACUCAAUAAUAUGCAGCGAUGGAUAUUCUUGGUCUCAAGCACACUACACAGUUCUACAGAACUCUACCUUGGUGACCCCGUAUGUCGAUGAACACAAGAACAGUCUGCGCUCCAAACACCCGGAGCAGUGCGACGACUGGAUUACAUGUGAACACAUCAGGACUUUCAGCAGUUGGUUGGAAACACGUCUCAGAGGUGACAACAUUGUUUGUGAUGAGUUGUACUUGUUGUCCAGGGGACCAUCUUUGACUGUAUUGACUUACAAAGGAUACGAGAUAAAUGGGAAUACAUUUUACACGAUCGCCCAAGAUCAAAAGAGCACCAACCAAAACAGUGGUGUCCGCUUUGAUGCAGCAACCGAGAGCGGAAAGGACACAUAGUGGACAUAUGGGAACUUGACUACGGACCUGAUUUUAAGGUCCCUUCGUUUAAGUGCAAAUGGGUCAAUCUGUUAGGCGGCGGGGUACAGGUAGACCCACAGUACGGAAUGACAACAGUGGAUCUGAAAAAUCUUGGGUACACUGACGAACCGUUCGUCCUAGCCAAUGAUGUGGCACAGGUUAUCUAUGUGAAGGACAUGUCUACCAAACCGAGAAAAGAAAAGAUAAGGAAGCGAAUACAUCAUACGAUGAGCCAAAGCGCCACAUAGUUCUUUCAGGAAAAAGGGACAUCCUGGGAGUGGACGGCAAGACUCAAGAUGGCAACGGGGACGAAACCCAUCGGGUUUUGCCUUCCCAAACCCAUCCCCACGAAAAAAUCAUAAACCCGUCCCCGUCCCCAUCACCGUGUGCGGGGCUAGUUUUCUGCCCGUCCCCUAAACCCAUCGGGUUUCGGGGAACCCACGGGGAACCCACGAUAAAAUUAAAAUAUUUAAACAAACAUAGUGGCGACAAAGAAUAACACUUCAGCAGCAAAACAGGCACAUUUCAGCAGCAUAGAUUGAGUAAACUUGAACAAAAAACAAUAGAAGAUGGUUCAACAGCUAUUAAGUUCUGAAAUAGAACUUAUAGUUCACAAAUCACUUUAAAGUUGGAAUCAUCAUGGCAUCUUUCACAUCUCCAAGCCUCCAAACGACCAUCUUCAAAUCUUCCAAUGCCAAAUCAAGGUGCCAAGUAUUAGGGAAGAUCAAAACUCGCUCAAGCUAAAGUUAAACAUGAGAAAAAUAUGCAGAUUAGUAUAUGAAAUUUGCAAGUACUUGUACUUCACCUGCAUUCCCUCUUGAAUGUCUUGAAGACAACUUCAAAAGCUUUGUCCUUAUUCAUUGUCAGCAUCUAUGAGAAUCAAAUAAAUAGUAAUGAACAUCUUAUGAAACAUUGCAGCAAGAUAAUGAUAAACUUUAUGAUGAUAUGUAAAGAAAGGCACACCUUUAUAUUUGUUUCUUAUCCAAUCUUGUGAACACAUCAAGGCCUCUUAGAUUUCGGGGGUAAGAUGACUACGGUGAUAAUAAAAAUAAUGUAAUUUCACGGGUAUUACCGGGUUUUGGGUUCGGGGACUACCGAAACGGGUGUAAACCCACGAAACGUGUCGGGUUGUAUAAUGUGCCCAACAACAGCCCCGUGGGGAUGAAAAGAUGCCCAUCCCCGUCCCCUAAUAGGGUAAAAACAAAUGGGGACGCGGGUUUCGGGGCCCCAUUGCCAUCUUGAGGCAAGACAAACAUGUCUGAAGAUUAUGAAAAGUUUCGUGAAAUUCCUCCCUUCAAUGUCAAGGCUGACCCAAUCAUCCUGAUAAACAAUGAAGAUUAUCCAUGGUUACGGCGCAAUAAGCAAAUGACACAAGCGAAGAAAAAGUGAAGACUUUCUCCCGCAACUAUUAUGAUGAUACCAUGCCAACUUUGUAACACACGAACAUGCUACCAUUGUCCGUUUUGUACAUGCACAUGCUAUGUGGGUGAAAUUAUGAUACCAUCCCAACUUUCAACUUUUUCAGAGUUCAUUUGAAAUGCUUUCAUGUCUUAUGGUUCGCCCCUGGCCCAUGACCAUUAGUCCUGGUUUGUGCCACAAACCGGGAUUAAAGGGUUGGUCCUCGUUGCGGGCAGAGUUUAGUCCCACCUCGCCAACCAAAGGGGGCUCACACCGGUUUAUAAGCCCUUCCCUCUCUGCCUUGUUGAGCUCCUCUCGAAGUGAAAAUAGAUGCCCUAAUAGAGAAAAUUUUAACCUAAAUUCAUAGUGAAUUUCUCUGAAAUUCAUAGAAAUUUACUAGGAAUUUAGGUUGAAUUUUCUCUAUAAGCGCAUCUAUUCUCAUUUUUUUAGUAAGUUAAUCACAAACUUGUGAUUCAAAUAAUUUUCAAAGAAUUCAAAUUUUAACUAUUCAAAUUUGAAAACUAAUGGCACUAACAGAAAGUUUAUAAUUUUUCUAAAACUAAUGGCACUAACAGAAAGUUUAUAAUUUUGCUAACCUAAAAGCAAACAGAAUUAAAAAUUAAAGCAAAAAACAAAAGAAAAUAAAUAAUGCAAAAAACAAAUCACAAAAACAGGAAAANNNNNNNNNNNNNNNNNNNNNNNNNNNNNNNNNNNNNNNNNNNNNNNNNNNNNNNNNNNNNNNNNNNNNNNNNNNNNNNNNNNNNNNNNNNNNNNNNNNNNNNNNNNNNNNNNNNNNNNNNNNNNNNNNNNNNNNNNNNNNNNNNNNNNNNNNNNNNNNNNNNNNNNNNNNNNNNNNNNNNNNNNNNNNNNNNNNNNNNNNNNNNNNNNNNNNNNNNNNNNNNNNNNNNNNNNNNNNNNNNNNNNNNNNNNNNNNNNNNNNNNNNNNNNNNNNNNNNNNNNNNNNNNNNNNNNNNNNNNNNNNNNNNNNNNNNNNNNNNNNNNNNNNNNNNNNNNNNNNNNNNNNNNNNNNNNNNNNNNNNNNNNNNNNNNNNNNNNNNNNNNNNNNNNNNNNNNNNNNNNNNNNNNNNNNNNNNNNNNNNNNNNNNNNNNNNNNNNNNNNNNNNNNNNNNNNNNNNNNNNNNNNNNNNNNNNNNNNNNNNNNNNNNNNNNNNNNNNNNNNNNNNNNNNNNNNNNNNNNNNNNNNNNNNNNNNNNNNNNNNNNNNNNNNNNNNNNNNNNNNNNNNNNNNNNNNNNNNNNNNNNNNNNNNNNNNNNNNNNNNNNNNNNNNNNNNNNNNNNNNNNNNNNNNNNNNNNNNNNNNNNNNNNNNNNNNNNNNNNNNNNNNNNNNNNNNNNNNNNNNNNNNNNNNNNNNNNNNNNNNNNNNNNNNNNNNNNNNNNNNNNNNNNNNNNNNNNNNNNNNNNNNNNNNNNNNNNNNNNNNNNNNNNNNNNNNNNNNNNNNNNNNNNNNNNNNNNNNNNNNNNNNNNNNNNNNNNNNNNNNNNNNNNNNNNNNNNNNNNNNNNNNNNNNNNNNNNNNNNNNNNNNNNNNNNNNNNNNNNNNNNNNNNNNNNNNNNNNNNNNNNNNNNNNNNNNNNNNNNNNNNNNNNNNNNNNNNNNNNNNNNNNNNNNNNNNNNNNNNNNNNNNNNNNNNNNNNNNNNNNNNNNNNNNNNNNNNNNNNNNNNNNNNNNNNNNNNNNNNNNNNNNNNNNNNNNNNNNNNNNNNNNNNNNNNNNNNNNNNNNNNNNNNNNNNNNNNNNNNNNNNNNNNNNNNNNNNNNNNNNNNNNNNNNNNNNNNNNNNNNNNNNNNNNNNNNNNNNNNNNNNNNNNNNNNNNNNNNNNNNNNNNNNNNNNNNNNNNNNNNNNNNNNNNNNNNNNNNNNNNNNNNNNNNNNNNNNNNNNNNNNNNNNNNNNNNNNNNNNNNNNNNNNNNNNNNNNNNNNNNNNNNNNNNNNNNNNNNNNNNNNNNNNCCCGUCGCGCCCCCAGUGAGCUCCCCCCUUCCCAUCGAUCCCUGUCGCUCUGACCAUCGCCGCCGCCGCCGCUGCUCUCUGUGUGUGAUAAAUUUUUUCAUAUGUGUAUGUAUAUGCUCAUAUGUAUUUGGAUUUGGCUAUGUAUGUAUGUAUGUAUAUGCUCAUAUGUAUGUAUGUAUGUAUGUAUGUAUAUGCUCUCUAUAUAUGGAUUUGGCUAUGUAUAUGCUCUCUGUAUAUGCUCAUAUGUAUGUAUGUUCAUAUAGCAUUUUUUCUAUAUAUGAUUUUUUUUUGUUCAUGGAUAUAUGCUAAAGAAAACGAGGGGGGUGAUAGAUGAUGAUGAGGGGUCGAGAGGGGGACGAGAGGUCGAGAGGGGUCGAGGGGAGAAAAAAAUGUUAUCAGGGACGAGAGUCGUCGAAGGGUCGAGAGAGGGAUGAGGGGUCGAGAGGGGUACGAACCGGGACCAAUACUCUAUGUAUAUAAGCAGGACUUAGAAAGAAGAAGAGGAGAAAUAAAUAAGAAGAAGAAAAAAGAAGAAAAAGAAGAGGAGAAGAAGAAAGGAAUAGUGGAGAAGAAGAGAAAAUAGAAUAUAUUCUAUUUUUUCUUCUUCUCCACUAUUCCUUUCUUCUUCUCCUCUUUUUUUUCUUCUUUUUUUUCUUCGAUCUUCUCCUCUAGCUAUUCCUUUCUUCUUCUCCUCUUUCUUCUUCUUCUUCUUCUUCUUCUUCUUCUUCUUNNNNNNNNNNNNNNNNNNNNNNNNNNNNNNNNNNNNNNNNNNNNNNNNNNNNNNNNNNNNNNNNNNNNNNNNNNNNNNNNNNNNNNNNNNNNNNNNNNNNNNNNNNNNNNNNNNNNNNNNNNNNNNNNNNNNNNNNNNNNNNNNNNNNNNNNNNNNNNNNNNNNGUCUAGGGGUCGAGGGUUCCAGGGUCGUCGAGGGUUCGAGGGGUCGAGGAUCGCCGAGGGGUCGAGAGAGGUUUCCUAGUGUCAAAGUAUUGAAGAAAUCCAUGGCUUCAUCAUUAGCCGGAAGUAACCAGGGCAUGACGAAGUCCUCCAAAGUUAUUUUGGAAUGGUGUCCCGGAUAGGAUAAUUUGCCUUUUUGUAUGAAUUUCAGCAAAGGCCUUCCAAAUAACGAUAUUUGGAAGGUUCUUGCUGAACUUUAUACCAAAAAGCGAAUUAUCCUAUCUAGGACUCCGUUCCAAAAUAACUUUGGAGGGCUUCGUACCAUCAUGCACCUGUUACUUUCGCCUAAUGAUGAAGACAUGGUUUUGUUGAAUACUUUGACACUAGGCAACCUCCCGACCCCUCGGCGAUCCUCUCGAACAUGAGAGGAAGAAGAGGAUCGCCGAGGGGUCGAGGGUUCCAGGGUCGUCGAGGGUUCGAGGGGUCGAGGAUCGCCGAGGGGUCGAGAGAGAGAUUUCCUAGUGUCAAAUUAUUGAAGAAAUCCAUGGCUUCAUCAUUAGCCAGAAGUAACCAGGGCAUGACGAAGUCCUCCAAAGUUAUUUUGGAAUGGUGUCCCGGAUAGGAUAAUUUGCCUUUUUGUAUGAAUUUCAGCAAAGGCCUUCCAAAUAACGAUAUUUGGAAGUUUCUUGCUGAACUUUGUACCAAAAAGAGAAUUAUCCUAUAUAGGACUCCGUUCCAAAAUAACUUUGGAGAGCUUCGUACCAUCAUGCGCAUGUUACUUUCGCCUAAUGAUGAAGACAUGGUUUUGUUGAAUCCUUUGACACUAGGCAACCUCCCGACCCCUCGGCGAUCCUCUCGAACAUGAGAGGAAGAAGAGGAUAAAAAAGGAAGAGGAAGAAGAAAAAAAAGAGGAGAAGAAAGAAUAGAGGAAUUCUUCUCCUCUAUUCUUUCUUCUCCUCUUUUUUUCUUCUUCUUCCUCUUUUUUUAUCGGGAACGAGGGUCGUCGAGGGACAUAGAUGUAGUGUCGUCGUUGUCGAUAUAUACCCCCUCCCGAUAGCUUCAACACGUGGGGGGGGGGUCGAUAUUACCCCCUCCUUGAAGCGUUCUUGAGGCCACCCCAAACCCUUGAAGCAUUGUCGAGGCCACCCCAAACCCUAGAGAAGCAGCGUCGAGGCCACUAAUUAAUAUAUAUGAUUCCUUACUAUGAUUAGGUAGCUAGUUCUACGUUUGCCACUAAUAUAUCCAUCUGUCAUGUUUGAAUAAUAAUUGCCAUGUUGUAAAUAUUUGUAGAAACUAUGGACACCGCCCAAGACGAAGCAAAAGAAGCGUUGUUGAGGGACAUAAUCACAGAAGGAAGUGAUGCCGUCUCAUUGUUUCUCAACGACACCGAUGGUCUGGAAGGAGAGGGUGAAGAAGCUGGCUACGUUGACCUAAUGCCGGUGCAAGAAGAAGAACAUGAGGACGGCUCCGGUGACCCAAUGCCGGUGCAAGAAGGAGACCGUGAUGACGGCUCCGGUGACCGAACCGAGUCCGGCCAGGUAUAUAUAUUAGUUAAGCCUAUGCUGACUAGCUGAUUGAUGCAUUCAUUAUUUUGGUAUGUACACAUAUUAAUUAAGUCUUUGUUCUUUUUUCUAGCCCUCCGGAUCGAGCACAACUUCGGUAAAGAGACGAGGCCCGAAGAAAAAGUUGAGCUCGGAUGAAAGGUUUGAGAUCAUAGCAAUCGCGCCCGAUGGCCAACCGAUUGAACCCAUCCGAACAAAGAACGCAUUUGUUGCUAGGUUUUAUGAGCCUAUAUGUAGCCAGCUUCCUGCAUAUGAUGAUGAGGUGCCGCAUACUCGUGGUUUCAUAGCUCGACAGAUGUUUGAUAAUAGAAGCUCUUCUAAAUAGACAUUUGUUGGUGGCAAAAAACACGAGGAGAUUGAUGAGCUUCUUCUGAAGGUUUUGAAGUUGACUGAAGAUUUGCCAACCUCUAGUGACAGGUUGAGGACAGUUGCUGUUUUUUUCCCUGUUGGCCAUGGCCCACAAGAUGAAGAUAUUGUUGCUGCUCACAAUUUUGAUUGUGGCAUGAUUGAAAGCCUGAAGAUUGCAGUGAUGAAUGUUUAGUCUUCGUAUGCUCAAUUGAGCCAUUCACAGGAGGAAAAUGCGGUCGGUAUGAGAAGGAUGCUGGGCAUAUUUUGGAUGAAAUGAACCGUCAGCACACUGGCGUUGGCGCUGAUAAUGUAUGUUCUAGGUGUUUUGUGUCUUUGAACCUCUUUUGUGUAUUAUGUGGACUGCUCCUAACUAUUUUUGUUUUGUGAAUAGGCUGGAGUGGAAUCUUCUGGUGUCCAGGGAACUAGGGACGAUGGAGUUUGUCAGGUACAAUUACUUCUGCCAUGUCUGUUCUGCCAUGCGUCCCUCUUCUUCAAACUUGCAUUUGUUGCUUCCCAUUUUAUUGUAUUUUUUGUGUACUUCACGGUUGUAAAGUUGGUACUGCUUGUGCAUAGUUGAAGUUUUUUUCUUUUUUGAUCGUUACCAUUUUAUUUUUGUUCUUGGUUUGUUCUAUGCCCGUAGACUAAUGUUGCUGCUUGUGAUGUGCACAAAGAGUCCUAUGAUGGCUCUGGAAAGGAUAAGAUCUUGGCUGAUGCAUCGUCCCCUCCAGAUGUUGUAGCUGAUAAGGUAUAGUUGUAUUACUUGUUCUGUUGGUGGGCUGUAAUCUAUUUUUUUUGUUAUAAACUUGAUGUACGCAGUUAUGUUCACUCAUAUACAUUUUCAUUUACAUAUGUUAUUUGCAAUAGUUUUACAUGUAUGAGCUUCAGUCUUUGACAAAAGUGAACUGCAGUUCUUUUUGCAUGCGUGGUCCGUAGUGUUUUACAUACGUAAGCUUCAGUAUUUAACACAACUGAACUACAGUUCUUUUGUAUUUUUAUGUGGGUUGUAGUGGUAGUUGUUUUGACACACGUGGACUGCAGUUGUUCUGUGUAUGUUGUCAGCAGUCUUUUUGACAUAAGUGUCAUGUGUGUUGUUGUGUUAAUUAUCCACACGCUCAUUUUGUGUUAUUGUGUGUUUUUAAACUUUCCACAGCCUGGAGAAGAAAACGUAGAAGUUCACGUCGAUCUGAAUCAGGGCGGUUGUGAUGUUGAUGGUGGUGGCAGUGUUAAUUCUUCUACAUCGGUUUCCGUCGACUGUGCAGAUCCCUCUAUAGCUCAAGAAUCCCAUGAUGUUGUUUCCCCUAGUCGGCAUGAAGAUUCUGAUUUUUGCAUUGAAAAGCCACUGGAGAAAGUCGUCCCUGCUGUUAGUGUUGUUGCUUCUCCUGUUUGUCUGGCGGCCAAUGAUGUUCCUGAAGUAUCGAGAGUGGAGCCUCAUGUAGCGGAAGUAUCUAAGUACGUUGCGGUUGACCAGACUGUUGUAAAUCCAAAGAAUGCUGAUGUUGCUGCAGAAGGGCAGUCUAAUGAUGUUGCGGUGGAUUCGUCGCAACCUAGCCAAGAAAAUGUUUUUGUUAGCUCUGAAGAACAACAACAUGAAGACUGUGAAACUGAAGGCAAGAGUUUUGUUUCAAAGAGUGCAGUUGAAGUUAUUCUCAUUCAUUUUGUUUAAUUACUAUGGUAUCUGCAUUAGAUGUUUAAUGAUAAGUGGAACUUGAUCUUUUGUUUAUGCUUUUCAAAAUAGCUAGCAGAAUUUCCUUAUCUUAAUAUUUGAACUUCAUUCUUUGGAUAAGUGAACUUCAUCUUUUUAUUACAGAUGACGAACUUCCUGUUGUGACACCGUCCAGCAUUGAUCCAGCUCUUCUGAAAAGAUACAAUGAGAUGUACGCUGCUGUUACGAGUGUUCGGAAGGACAAUAAGAAGAAGUAUGGUUUUUUAGAAAAUGUUUUGUUCAUAUGUAUUUUCUAAUUUUGGUAUUUACCCCUUUUUCUUUGUUGUUAUUUUUUUAGUAUCUUAUGUUUCAGUUUUUCAUGAAAAAUUCAGGGACAUGAUUGCUUUUAAAACUGAGAUGGCUGAUAUUACCAUUGGCGAAGUUGGUCAAUCCUUUUGGGAUAAAGAGAUGCUCACUACAAGCCUUGUAGAUCUUGGGGUUUCUUUGGGGAUAGAUAAGUUUAAGGGAAUCGUUGCCCCGUACCAUAUUUGUGUAAGGAUUCAGAAAUUUUUGUUUUAUUUUUUGAUUUUCUUUUUUGAUUUCAUGCGACGACCUGUUUUCUUGAGCACUAUUUGAUUUUUGGUUUUGUUUUGGUAGACACAUAUUUGGAAUGGUGGUACUGUAGGCAGGAGUGUUAAAAUGAUGUUCUCUUCAAAAGCCGAGGAGCGUGUUGAUAAAAAGGAUAUGGUGAGUAACGUUUCUAUGUGUCGAAAACUAUAUUUUGUGUGUUUGUUUUUAUAGUGUUCUAUUUCUUCUUCUUAUAAUAAUUUUAUUAAUUUAUUCAUGCUUCGAACACUUCCUUUUUGCAACUUUUGAUCUGCCAGAGAUGAGGGAUGGCAUUGGUCAUUAUUGUGUAGUUGCGUUAAAUGUGAAAGAAAGGAGGUUUGAAUUUCUUGACUCGCUCAAUAAACCUGACAGCCCUGAUGACAUCAGGGUUUUUAGGAGGAUGGUUAAAAAUAUCAAGCGUGCAUGGAAAGAAGGAAGCUCAAGUUCUGAUGAGCCGCUAAAUCCUCCUACACUUGAUGGAUUUGUGUUGAAACAUCUCAUUGUCCCAAUGCAGCCAAAUGGGUGUGUUCUGUAUGGCCCCUCUCCGCCAUACUGCUCAAGUUUUUUUAUUUCGUUUUGUGAAACUGAUGUUUUUUAUUCUUUUUUGUUGCAGUCAUGAUUGUGGAUUCUAUAUGUUUCAAUUCUUGCAGACUUGGGAUGGUGUUCAAGUUGCUAAGUUUGGGGUGGAGCACAUUGGCUACAUCAGAAAUGCCAUGCUCUAUAGUUGGCUCACAUCAAGAAAGUGUUGCCUUGAUUUAACAUCACUUUUAAUUUUUGCAGAUAAAGGUUGUUUUAGUGAACUUCUUCAUCCUCCCUUUUAUUUAUUUUUUGUCUACUGCUUGCUUCCGCUUCUUAUGGGCUUUUUUUACUAGUUUGUUUAGUUAAGUUCGUGACUUAGAAUGGAUGUGUAUAUUUAUUUGUUGCGUUAGUGAGAUGCAUUUUAUUUUUUGGGCAAAUGAGCUGCAUUGUUCUUUAAAGUGGGCUGCAUUGAUGUAGACAAGUGGACUCCAUUGCUGUAGACAAGAGGACUGCAUUGAUGUAGACUAGUGGACUACAUUGAUGUAGACUAGUGGGCUGCAUUCUAUUCUUUAGUAAACUACAUUUUUUUAUAUUAAUGAGAUGUAUUACAUGUUUUUUGGUUUUGUAUUUUGUGAUGAGUGUUUCCAUGUUUUUCCUACACAUAUUUAGGUUUUGAUGGGGGGCUUCAUGAAGGUUGUACGUCACUGUUUGAGUCCCAGGGUUCUGAGGUGGUUAUGGAGGAUUGUGUCAUUGAAAUCUCUCCAGAUAAUUCUGGUUCUUUGGAUGGAUAUGGUUUGAAAACAGAUGUGGCAUCUGGAUCUGGUGGUGGAAGUGUCUCUCGACCUAGCUCUCCACACGAUGUAUUUGAUGUUGAUGAUGAUGAUUUUGUUACGCCGUGUCCAUGCGUCACUAGGACUAGGAGUGCACCAAUUAGUGGUCCUCCUUUGGAUGAGGUUGAAGUAUUUUCGAACAAGAGGGCAGGUGAGAGGGCUUUUAAGUUGAGAUGCUCUAUAGAGAAAUUGAAGCCUCCGAGGUUGAAAUAUAUCGAUGAGGCGAGGAAAAUAAAGGAUCUUGUUCUCAGCAAAGAUUUUGUAACCAAAUACCACGAGUAAGUUUUAUGUGUGUGCCCUUCAUCCUUUCUGUGUGUUUUUAAUUUUAAUUUUAUUGAUCCCAUCUGUGUAUGUUUACUGAAGUAACGCGUUAUUUAUGAUGAAUAGUCCUUUUCGUCAUGUUGAUACUUACACUAUUAACUAUAUCUAUAAUACAUUUGGCAAAGGAGCUUUAAUGGAUUCGUAUCUCAUGGAUUUUGCAAUCAAGUACUGGAAGCAAGAACCUGAAUUGGGUUUAGUUCAUUAUUCCGGUGAACGUGUGCUAGUUUCACCUUUAUUUAUCAUGGUAAAUGUGUGCUGUCAUUUUUUCCUAUUGUACUGGUUUUUUCAUGUCCAUGCCUGCAUGCAUUGUUUAUCCUUUUUUCAUAUCUUUUUUGUUCUUUUUUCUGUGCAGUACGUUCUUCAAAUGGAAACCUUUGUGACGAGAGAUGAUGAUUUAAACCCUGUGUUGCCAGUUGUGCAUAGCCUGUUUGUUUUAGAAGAUGCAGUUAAGCAGUUCAUGGUUUUUGUGAGCGACAACGUAAACCUGUUGGAUGCAAAACUGGUAAGUUCAUUGUUUUCCGUCAUUUACUUUUCUGGUUUGUUGCACUUCUUUUUAUAGUUAUUUUUGGAACAGUGGUCCUGGUGCUACGUGUCGAAAGAACUUUUCAUUUUCUUCUGUUUUAAUGUGAACAGAUUAUGAUGCCGCGCUCCAAGGAUUGUCAUUAUUCCUUAUACACGAUGAACCAGCAUCGCUAGACGUUUGAUAUCCAUGACACUAGGAAGUACACUAGCCAUCCUGAUGUCACGACAAAGUGGCGCGGGACUGACUACCACUCAGAUUGCACUGAAGUGGUACGUCAUUUUUUUCUUGCCAAGUGACAAGCUUUUUUGUGUUUCUCCUACUGCAUUUUUUUAUAAACUGCAAAUGCAAUGUUAGCACACAUUGAACCACACUUGUUUAUGUAGUGCACCUCAACAUAUGCGUGACAGAACUGCAUUUUCUCACACCACCCAUAAUCUCUGUAAAAGGGUUAAAAGGAAAUGACCUCACGUGCAUUUAAAAGAGGGACUGUCUAGACCUUGAGAACAACUUUGGUAUUUUUUGGUUUGUCUGAAUAGUAACUUGAUCUGUGAUGUGUGUUAUUUUUACCUUGUGCUACCUUUUUUUUGCCAUAUGAGGAGGAUGACUCAGCUGCUUAAGGCGAUUUAUGGUGAAAAAAUGUAUAAACUGAAGAACCACCCUGACUAGGUUAAAUUGGUAGAGAAGCCCUCUUUCCCGGUCGUGCCAGUGCAGGGAGCAAACGAGUGCGGAAUCUAUGUUCUGAGAUUGACGCACUUGUAUGACGGCCAAUGUCUAGUUGAGAGAAUUAUGAAAUCCGACAUAACACCUUCUCUGUUUUCUUAUUUUUCUUGCUACUUUUUUUUAUUUUUACUUUUCACUUUUUGUUCUUUAUGACAACCUUUUUUUAAACACUGUUCUGCAUUUUUUUAAUUUUCUUUUUUGCAGCCUGUUGUUGAAGAUUGGAAGGCAGAAUACAUGUUCCAGCUGCUGUUCAAUCCUUCGAACAUCUUGUGUUAUGAAGACAUGUCACUUGAGCUACGAGAUCUGAUUGCGGACCUCGGGCUUACUUCCCUGUCGCAAUCGCAAACGCAGUCGCAGACGCAGUAACAGUCAUCUUGGCAUUGUUUUCUACUUGGUAAAAGCCUAUACAUGGACAAGAACUAGGGUUCAUGUUGUGAACUGUGUGUGGUCUAAGAUAGAUAAUGUAUGAAAAGACUUUUGUUUUCUUCUUGUUGUGCACAAACCGGACACAUUCCCUCUCGAUACCCAUAGACUAUCUCGAAGAACGGGCCUAGACUUGGUACGUCAUCUCGCGAUGACAUGCACUAACACGAAGAAUCAGUUACUCUCGGUGCCGAUCAAUGAUGUCUACUACACAACCUUCUUCUUGUAGACGUUGUUGGGCCUCCAAGUGCAGAGGUUUUUAGGAUAGUAGCAAAUUUCCCUCAAGUGGAUGACCUAAGGUUUAUCAAUCCAUAGGAGGCAUAGGAUGAAGAUGGUCUCUCUCAAGCAACCCUGCAACCAAAUAACAAAGAGUCUCUUGUGUCCCCAACACACCCAAUACAAUGGUAAAUUGUAUAGGUGCACUAGUUCGGCGGCGAAGAGAUGGUGAAACAAGUGGUAUAUGGAUAGUAGAUAACGGUAUUUGUAAUCUGAAAUUAUAAAAACAGCAAGGUAGCAAGUGAUAAAAGUGAGCGUAAACGGUAUUGCAAUGCUAGUAAACAAGGCCUAGGGUUCAUACUUUUGCUAGUGCAAGUCCUCUCAACAAUAAUAAUAUAAUUCGAUCACAUAACUUUCCCUCAACAUGCAACAAAGAGUCACUCCAAAGCCACUAAUAGCGGAGAACGAACGAAGAGAUUAUGGUAGGGUAUGAAACCACCUCAAAGUUAUUCUUUCCAAUCAAUCCGUUCGGCUAUUCCUAUAAGUGUCACAAACAGCCCUAGAGUUCGUACUAGAAUAACACCUUAAGACACAAAUCAACCAAAACCCUAAUGCCACCUAGAUACUCCAAUGUCACCUCAAGUAUCCGUGGGUAUGAUUAUACGAUAUGCAUCACACAAUCUCGGAUUCAUCUAUUCAACCAACACAUAGAACCUCAAAGAGUGCCCCAAAGUUUCUACCGGAGAAUCACGAUGAAAACGUGUGCCAACCCCUAUGCAUUGGUUCAUGGGCGGAACCCGCAAGUUGGUCACCAAAACAUACAUCAAAUGAAUCACGUGAUAUCCCUUUGUCACCACAGAUAUCCACGACAAGACAUACAUCAAGUGUUCUCAAAUCUUUAAAGACUCAAUCCGAUAAGAUAACUUCAAAGGGGAAACUCAAUCCAUUACAAGAGAGUAGAGGGGGGAAGAAACAUCAUAGGAUCCAAAUAUAAUAGCAAAGCUCGCGAUACAUCAAGAUCAUAUCACCUCAAGAAUAGGAGAGAGAGAGAGAUCAAACAUAUAGCUACCGGUACAUAGCCUCAGCCCCGAGGGAGAACUACUCCCUCCUCGUCAUAGAGAGCACCGGGAUGAUGAAGAUGGCCACCGGAGAGGGAUUGCCCCCUCCGGCAGGGUGCAGGAACGGGUCUAGAUUGUUUUUUGGCGGCUAUGGAGGCUUCUGGUGGCGGAACUCCCGAUCUAUUGUGUUCUUGGAUGUUUUUAGGGUAUAUGGUGAUAUAUAGGCGGAAGAAAUACGUCAGGGGGGCCACGAGGGGCUCACGAGGGUGGAGGGAACGCCCCCUGCCUCGUGACCUCCUCGCAGAUCCCUCGACGUGCACUCCAAGUCUUCUGGGAUUCUUUCCUUCCAGAAAUGAGUUCCGUGAAGUUUCAGGUCAAUUGGACUUCGUUUGAUUUUCCUUUUCUUCGAACCCCUAAAACAGGGUAAAAACAGAAACUGGCACUGGGCUCUGGGUUAAUAGGUUAGUUCCAAAAAUGAUAUAAAAGUGUAUAAUAAAGCCCAUAAACAUUCAAAACAGUAAAUAAUAUAGCAUGGAGCAAUCAAAAAUUAUAGAUACGUUGGAGACGUAUCAGCAUCCCCAAGCUUAAUUCCUGCUCGUCCUCGAGUAGGUAAAUGAUAAAAACAGAAUUUUUGAUGCGGAGUGCUACUUGGCAUAAUUUCAAUGUGAUUCUUCUUAAUUGUGGUAUGAAUAUACAGAUCCGAAAGAUUCAAGACAAAAGUUCUUAUUGACAUAAAAAUUAUAAUACUUCAAGCAUACUAACUAAGCAAUUAUGUCCUCUCGAGAUAACAUGGCCAAAGAAAGUUCAUCCCUACAAAAUCAUAUAGUUUAGUCAUGCUCCAUUUUCGUCACACAAAAAUGCUCUCAUCAUGCACAACCCCGAUGACAAGCCAAGCAAUUGUUUCAUACUUUAGUAAUCUCAAACCUAUAAACUUUCACGCAAUAUAUGAGCGCGAGCCAUGGGUAUAGCACUAUGGGCGGAAUAGAAUAAUGAGGGGGUUAUGUGGAGAAGACAAAAAGGGAGAAAGUCUCACAUCAACGAGUCUAAUCAAUGGGCUAUGGAGAUGCCCACCGAUUGAUGUUAAUGCAAGGAGUAUGGAUUUCCAUGCAACGGAUGCACUAGAGCUAUAAAUGUAUGAAAGCUCAACAAAAGAAACUAGUGGGUGUGCAUCCAACUUGCUUGCUCACGAAGACCUAGGGCACUUGAGGAGGCCCAUUGUUGGAAUAUACAAGCCAAGUUCUAUAAUGAAAAAUUCCCACUAGUAUAUGAAAGUGAUAACAUGAGAGACUCUCUACUAUGAAGAUCAUGGUGCUACUUUGAAGCACAAGUGUGGUAAGGAAUAGUAGCAUUGUCCCUUCUCUCUUUUUCUCUCAUUUUUUAUUUGGCCUUCUUUUUUUAUGGCAUUUCUCUUUUUUAGGGCCUUCCCUUUUUUUGGCCUUUCUCUUUUUUUAUUCCUCACUUGGGACAAUGCUCUAAUAAUGAUGAUCAUCACACUUCUAUUUAUUUACAACUCAAUGAUUACAACUCGAUACUAGAACAAAGAUGACUCUAUAUGAAUGCCUUCGGCGGUGUACCGGGAUAUGCAAUGAACCAAGAGUGACAUGUAUGAAAGAAUUAUGAACGGUGGCUUUGCCACAAAUACGAUGUCAACUACAUGAUCAUGCAAAGCAAUAUGACAAUGAUGAUGCGUGUCAUAAUAAACGGAACGGUGGAGAGUUGCAUGGCAAUAUAUCUCGGAAUGGCUAUGGAAAUGCCAUAAUAGGUAGGUAUGGUGGCUGUUUUGAGGAAGAUAUAAGGAGGUUUAUGUGUGAAAGAGCGUAUCAUAUCACGGGGUUUGGAUACACCAGCGAAGUUUGCGCCAACUCUCAAUGUGAGAAAGAGCAAUGCACGGUACCGAAGAGGCUAGGAAGGAUGGAAGGGUGAGAGUGCGUAUAAUCCAUGGACUCAGCAUUAGUCAUAAAGAACUCACAUACUUAUUGCAAAAAUCUACAAGUCAUCAAAAACCUCGGCACUACGCACAUGCUCCUAGGGGGAUAGAUUGGUAGGAAAAGACCAUCGCUCAUCCCCGACCACCACUCAUAAGGAAGACAAUCAAAUAACACCUCAUGUUUCGAAUUUGUUACACAACGUUUACCAUACGUGCAUGCUACGGGACUUGCAAACUUCAACACAAGCACUUCUCAAUUCACAACUACUCAACUAGCACGACUUUGAUAUUAUUACCUCCAUAUCUCAAAACAAUCAUCAAGCAUCAAACUUCCCUUAGUAUUCAAUAUCUAUAUGAAUGUUUUUUACUAUUCUUGGAUGCCUAGCAUAUUAGGAUUUUAAGCAAAUUACCAUGCUAUUUAGGACUCUCAAAAUACCUAAGUGAAGCAUGAUAGUUCAUCUAUUUCUUCAAAAUAAAACUACCACCAUGCUCUAAAAGAUAUAAGUGAAGCACUAGAGCAAAUGACAAACUACUCCGAAAUAUAUAAGUGAAGAUCAAUGAGUAGUCGAAUAAUUAUGCAACUAUGUGAAGACUCUCUAACAAUUAAUAAUUUCAGAUCUUGGAUUUUAUUCAAACAGCAAGCAAAACUAAAUAAAAUGAAAUGACGCUCCAAGGAAAACACAUAUCAUGUGGUGAAGAAAAAUAUAGCUCCAAGUAAAGUUACCGAUGAACGAAGAUGAAAGUGGGGAUGCCUUCCGGGGCAUCCCCAAGCUUAGGCUCUUGGUUAUCCUUUAAUAUUACCUUGGGGUGCCUUGUGCAUCCCCAAGCUUAGGCUCUUGCCCCUCCUUAUUCCAUAGUCCAUCGAAUCCUUACCCAAAUUUGAAAACUUCACAACACAAAACUUAACAGAAAACUCGUAAGCUCCAUUAGUAUAAGAAAGUAAAUAACCACUUCAAGAUACUGUAAUGAACUCAUUAUUUAUUUAUAUUGGUGUUAAACCUACUGUAUUCCAACUUAUCCAUGGUUUAUAAACUAUUUUUCUAGCCAUAGAUUCAUCAAAAUAAGUAUACAACACAUGAAAAACAGAAUCUGUCAAAAACAGAACAGUCUGUAGUAAUAUGGAUCAAACGUAUACUUAUGGAACUCAUAAAAUUCUAAAAUAAAUUUCCGGACCUGAAUAAUUUAUCUAUUAAUCAUAUAAAAAAUAAUUAACUAAAGAGCAUUCUCCAAAUAAAAAUGGCAGCAAUUCUCGUGAGCGCUAAAGUUUCUGUUUUUUACAGCAUGAUCAACAAGACUUUCCCCAAGUCUUCCCAAAGGUUCUACUUGGCACAACAACUAAUUAAAAGCAUAAAACCACAUCUAAACAGAGGCUAGAUGAAUUAUUUAUUACUAAACAGGAGCAAAAAGCAAGGAACAAAAAUAAAAUUGGGUUGCCUCCCAACAAGCGCUAUCGUUUAACGCCCCUAGCUAGGCAUGAUGAUUUCAAUGAUGCUCACAUAAAGAAUAAGAAUUGUAACAUAAAGAGAGCGUCAUGACAAAUAUGACUAGCACAUUUAAGUCUAACCCACUUCCUAUGCAUAGGGAUUUUUUGAGCAAACAACUUGUGGGAACAAGAAUCAACUUGCAUUAGAAGGAAAAACAAGCAUAACUUUGAAACUUUAAGCACAUAGAGAGGAAACUUGAUAUUAUUGAGAUUCCUACAAGUAUAUAUUCCUCCCUCGUAAUAAUUUUCAGUAGCAUCAUGAAUGAAUUCAACAAUAUAAACAUCACACAAAGCAUUCUUUUCAUGAUCUACAAGCAUAGAAUUUUUAUUACUCUCCACAUAAGCAAAUUUCUUCUCAUGAAUAAUAGUGGGAGCAAACUCAACAAAAUAACUAUCAUGUCAGGCAUAAUCCAAUUGAAAACUAAAAUCAUGAUGACAAGUUUCAUGGAUAUCAUUAUAAUUUAUAUCAUACAAGUCAUCACAAUAAUCAUCAUAGAUAGCAACUUUGUUCUCAUAAUCAAUUGGAACCUCUUCCGGAAUAGUGGAAUCAUUACUAAAUAAAGUCAUGACCUCUCCGAAACCACUUUCAUCAACAUAAUCAUCAUAAAUAGGAGGCAUGCUUUCAUCAUAAUAAAUUUGCUCAUCAAAACUUGGGGGACAAAAAAUAUCAUCUUCAUCAAACAUAGCUUCCCCAAGCUUGUGGCUUUGCAUAUCAUUAGCAUCAUAGAUAUUCAAGGAAUUCAUACUAACAACAUCGCAAUCAUGCUCAUCAUUCAAAUAUUUAGUGCCAAACAUUUUAUAGAUUUCUUCUUCUAGCACUUGAGCACAAUUAUCCUUUCCAUCAUACUCACGAAAGAUAUUAAAAAGGUGAAGCGUAUGAGACAAACUCAAUUCCAUUUUUUAUAGUUUUCUGUUAUAAACUAAACUAGUAAUAAAACAAGAAACUAAAAGACUCGAUUGCAAGAUCUAAAGAUAUACUUCAAGCGCUAACCUCCCCGGCAACGGCGCCAGAAAAGAGCUUGAUGUCUACUACACAACCUUCUUCUUGUAGACAUUGUUGGGCCUCCAAGUGCAGAGGUUUGUAGGACAGUAGAAAAUUUCCCUCAAGUGGAUGACCUAAGGUUUAUGAAUCCGUAGGAGGCGUAGGAUGAAGAUGGUCUCUCUCAAGCAACCGUGCAACCAAAUAACAAAGAGUCUCUUGUGUCCCCAACACACCCAAUACAAUGGUAAAUUGUAUAGGUGCACUAGUUCGGUGAAGAGAUGGUGAAACAAGUGGUAUAUGGAUAGUAGAUAAAGGUAUUUGUAAUCUGAAAUUAUAAAAACAACAAGGUAGCAAGUGAUAAAAGUGAGCGUAAACGGUAUUGCAAUGCUAGUAAACAAGGCCUAGGGUUCAUACUUUCAUUAGUGCAAGUCCUCUCAACAAUAAUAAUAUAAUUGGAUCACAUAACUUUCGCUCAACAUGCAACAAAGAGUCACUCCAAAGUCACUGAUAGCGGAGAACGAACGAAGAGAUUAUGGUAGGGUAUGAAACCACCUCAAAGUUAUUCUUUCCAAUCAAUUCGUUCGGCUAUUCCUAUAAGUGUCACAAACGGCCCUAGAGUUCGUACUAGAAUAACACCUUAAGACACAAAUCAACCAAAACCCUAAUGUCACCUAGAUACUCCAAUGUCACCUCAAGUAUCUGUGGGUAUGAUUAUACGAUAUGCAUCACACAAUCUCAGAUUCAUCUAUUCAACCAACACAUAGAACCUCAAAGAGUGCCCCAAAGUUUCUACCGGAGAAUCACAAUGAAAACGUGUGCCAACCCCUAUGCAUAGGUUCAUGGGCGGAACCCGCAAGUUGAUCACCAAAACAUACAUCAAGUGAAUCACGUGAUAUCCCAUUGUCACCACAGAUAUCCACGGCAAGACAUACAUCAAGUGUUCUCAAAUCUUUAAAGACUCAAUCCGAUAAGAUAACUUCAAAGGGGAAACUCAAUCCAUUACAAGAGAGUAGAGGGGGGAAGAAACAUCAUAGGAUGCAAAUAUAAUAGCAAAGCUCACGAUACAUCAAGAUCGUAUCACCUCAAGAACACGAGAGAGAGAGAGAGAGAGAGAGAGAGAGAGAUCAAACACAUAGCUACUGGUACAUACCCUCAGCCCCGAGGGGGAACUACUCCCUCCUCGUCAUGGAGAGCACCGGGAUGAUGAAGAUGGCCACAGGAGAGGGAUUACCCCCUCCGGCAGGGUGCCGGAACGGGUCUAGAUUGGUUUUAGGUGGCUACGGAGGCUUCUGGCGGCGGAACUCCCGAUCUAUUGUGCUCUUGGAUGUUUUUAGGGUAUAUGUUGAUAUAUAGGAGGAAGAAAUAUGUCAGGGGGGCCACGAGGGGCUCACGAGGGUGGAGGGCGCGCCCAGGGGAGUGGGCGCACCCCCCUGCCUCGUGACCUCCUCACAGAUCCUCUGACGUGCACUCCAUGUCUUCUGGGCUUCUUUCCUUCCAAAAAUGAGUUCCGUGAAGUUUCAGAUCAAUUGGACUCCGUUUGAUUUUCCUUUUCUCCGAACCCCUAAAACAGGGUAAAAACAGAAACUGGCACUGGGCUCUGGGUUAAUAGGUUAGUCCCAAAAAUGAUAUAGAAGUGUAUAAUAAAGCCCAUAAACAUUCAAAACAGUAAAUAAUAUAGCAUGGAGCAAUCAAAAAUUAUAGAUACGUUGGAGACAUAUCAAUCAAUGCCCUAGACUACCGGGGCCACCGGAUGGGUGCUUGAUCUAGAGACCGCCCGAGGGGGGGCACCCUACAUGCGUGUGACCCAUGCAUAUGCAUGCAGGAGUGGUAUGCUAUUUGAAUAAGCAACACACUUCCUUGAUGUGGCACAUGCCUCACAAACCACACACACGGGACGGGAACUUCGAGGACCGGCUAUGUUCGUCUGUGAGACAGAGUCUCCGGUGGGUGAUCCCGUGAUAGAACGGGCCUAGACUUGGUCUUUCAUCUCGCGAUGACAUGCACUAACAUGAAGAAGCAGUUAUUCACCGUGGCCUACACCCUCUCGGUGCCGAACAACGCCCUAGCUAGACCGCCGGGNNNNNNNNNNNNNNNNNNNNNNNNNNNNNNNNNNNNNNNNNNNNNNNNNNNNNNNNNNNNNNNNNNNNNNNNNNNNNNNNNNNNNNNNNNNNNNNNNNNNNNNNNNNNNNNNNNNNNNNNNNNNNNNNNNNNNNNNNNNNNNNNNNNNNNNNNNNNNNNNNNNNNNNNNNNNNNNNNNNNNNNNNNNNNNNNNNNNNNNNNNNNNNNNNNNNNNNNNNNNNNNNNNNNNNNNNNNNNNNNNNNNNNNNNNNNNNNNNNNNNNNNNNNNNNNNNNNNNNNNNNNGUGUGGCCCAUGCAUAUGCAUGCAGGAGUGGUGUGCUAUUUGAAUAAGCAACACACCUCUUUGACAUGGCACGUGCCUCACAAACCACACAGAUGGGCAGGAACGUCGAGGACCGGUUGUGUUCGUCUGCGAGAUAGAGUCUUCGGUGGUGAUCCCGUGACAGAACGGGCCUAGACUUGGUCUGUCAUCUCACGAUGACAUGCACUAACAUGAAGAAGCAGUAAUUCCCUGUGGCCUAGCCCCUCUAGGUGCCGAACAACGCCCUAGACAUCGGGGCUACCGAAGGGGUGCUGGUCUCUAGAACCGGGCGAGGCCCAUCUGAAAAAGAAAACAUAAGACGGUAAUUAUGAUGUGCUAAGGUUGUUUGCCAAGCAUGGAAGAAAACAAACAAAAAAAGUAUAAUACAUAUUAUCAAGAAUGCACAAGAAGGAAAAAGAUAUAAGUUAGAUGCUUUACCGAGAUGGUCUCUCGGAAAAAGUGGCCAUUACCGAGGGCUGGUGGCUGACCCUCGGUAACCACUAUCGGUGCGGCGCUCGGAAAAGCCCCUGGGAUCUAGGUUAAGACUUUUAUCGAGUGUCGCUAAAAGUUGGCUCUCGGAAAUGUUUCCCGCGGGGACUAAUGCAAAAUUUCCCCCUCGCGCGCGCUCACUCCUCUCUUCUCUUUGUUUCUCUCGCCCCCUCUGUCCGCCGCCGCCCCUUAGCGCCGCCGCCGCCACCGGGAGUGCCUCCCCUGACCCCUCCACCUCCACCUAUCCCCCCAUCACCACCUCCACCGAGCUCGUCCACCGCCACCAUCUCGGCCAAGCUUCACCGAGCACCGCCAGUGCGGCAUCCCCUCCACCGAGCUCUACCACGUCCGGCAUCCACCUCCCCCGCCGUCCCCCUGCCCUGUUGGUGAGCCCCUACUCAAUCUCAUUUUUUAAAAAUAAAAGGGGUUUUCCCCCUCUCCAUUACAACAAAUGUUGUAUAUAUAUAUAUGCAUAGUGAAUAAUGUGUGUGAGUGUGUGCUUUGUAUGUGUGUGUGUCAGUGAGUGAUGUUGGUGUAUGUGUGGGUGGAUGUGCUAUUGAUGUGUGUGUGUGAGAGUGAUGUUGGUGUGUGUGUGUGUGGGUGGAUGUGCUAUUGAUGUGUGUGUGUGUGUGUGAGUGAUGUUGGUGUGUGGGGUGGUGAGUGCUAUUGGUGUGUGGGUGUGUGUGUUGUGGGUGAGAUUUGAUUGACAUGUGAUUGACACUACUCUUUCUUUCAUGUAGGACAUGCAUCUAUUUUGACAAUAGAGAGAGUGAAUUCCGUUGCAUGCUUCAAGGGUAAUCUCUUCCCGUUCAUGUGUAGGUUCUCAUUAUUUAUAGUCACCUAAAUAGUCGCGUAACCUAGGUGUCUCCCGUUCGGAAGGGUUGUAUCUAUAAAUAUGCAAGUCUUUGCAUUUAUAACCUCAACUCUUUCGAAUUGUCCACGUUUUCCAUGGACAACCCGAGGAUGUGUAGGCGGGUCGUUUUCAUGAUGUACUUCGAUCCGAGACAAAAUUUCGAAAGUGUCUCCUUGUUGUUCUCUAGAUACACAUCCUCUUGGCUUAUUGCUGAGACGUGCAUUUGGAGAACAACGGGGAGGUGCUGCCAAAAUUUUGUCUCGGGUCGGAGUACGGCAUGGAAGCGGACCCAGCCUACACAUUCUCGGGUGGGAUUGGGACCUAUCUUUACCUAUUACAUAGCUCAGUGCAUGUCGUAAAACUUGAUGGAACCACUUGUUACAUAAAAAAGUGUGUGUCUGUUUCACUUUAUAUCAGAGGAUGGAAGAACGUGAGUGGAUGUACAGCGGACAUCCCAGCAUGGAGGGUAUGACCCUUGAGUGGAGGUUGAAGACCAAUGAUUUCCUGGAAUUAGUAUUUGCUGGAGAAACACUAAUUCGUGGAAUUUUGUGCCCAUGCACGGAGUGUGAUAACCAGACCGAAAGAGAUAAGAUUACUAUGAGUAAACACUUAGGCAAAUAUGGGGUUACACCAGGCUAUUACUGGUGGAUCUUUCACAGUGAGACAAAAUAGUCCAGGGCAGAGGUGGUGCGACAAUGCACCAGCGAAUAUGAUACUCGGAGUGAAAACCUGUUAGAUGACAUCCGCCCUGCGGAUCCGCGGGAGGGCCCAAACUCCGAGGAGCCGCCGGAAAGCCCUAAAGAGUAUCAUGCAGCUUUGUUUGCGGCACAGAAACCCCUUCACACCCAUACAGAGGUUACUCAACUAGAUGGCAUUGCACGCCUAAUGGCCCUGAAGGCAAACAAUAACAUGAGCAUAAUUUGCUUCUAUGAGUUAUUGUCUGUUAUUGCUAGCCUGUUGCCUAAAGAAAAUAUAAUGCCAAAGAACAUGUACGAGUCGAACAAAAUCCUCGGUUCCCUAAAGAUGUCGUAUGAACAAAUACAUGCUUGUCCAAACAGAUGCAUGUUAUUUAGAAAUGAACAUAAAGAUACGAAUUAUUGUGUCAAGUGCAAAUCCUCUAGGUAUAUUGAGGUAAUAGAUGAUGAUGGUAGCAAGAGGCAACUCACAAAUGCCGUCAAUAUCCUUCGAUAUCUUUCAUUCACAGAAAGGAUCCAGAGGCUUUAUAUGACCGAGGAAACUGCCCAAUAUAUGAGAUGGGCCGCCGAAGGGAAGAUGUAAAAUACAAAAAAGAUGCAACAUUCAUGGGAUGGUGAAGCAUGGAAGAAAUUUGUUGAAAUUCAUAAGAAAACAGAUGACUGGAAGAGUGUAGCUGUUGGGAUAACAACCGACGGGUUCAAUCCAUAUGGUUUGAUGAUUUCCAUAUACAGUUGUUGGCCAGUAUAUGUUAUCCCCGUGAAUCUGCCCCCUGGAGUUUGCAUGCAACGACAUCACAUGUUCCUGAUGUUGAUAAUUCCAGGUCCUAACUUUCCCGGGAAGCAUAUGAGUGUGUACAUGGAGCCAUUGGUGGACGACUUACUUGCUGCUUGGAACAAUGGGGUCCAGACAUACGAUGCCGUUUCAAAGAAGCACUUCAAUAUGCAUAUCUGGUACCACACAUCGCUACAUGACCUACCGACACAUGCGAUAUUUUGUGGUUGGUGUGUAAAGGGGAAGUGGCCUUGCCCGGUGUUUCGACAACGUGUGAUUUUCAUUUGGCUGGCUAAGGGUCACAAGUAUGCAUGCUUUGACCAACAUUGAUAGUUCCUUCGUCUUGAUCACCCAUACAGACAAGACACUGUGCACUUCCAAAAUGGUGUUAUUGUUGAUGACCCGCCACCACCUAUUAUGACCGGUGCCCAGCUUAAGGAUGAGUUAGAUGCUCUUGAGGAAAAUCUUGAUGGGAAAGGUUUUGUGGGAUAUGGAGAGACACACCAUUGGACUCACAUCCCAAGCUUAUGGAGGCUCCCUUACUUUAAAGAUCUUCUACUUCCACACAACAUUGAUGUAAUGCACACUAAAAAGAAUAUUACGGAGGCCUUACUCGGCACGCUCCUCAACACCGUGAAAUCAUAGGAUAACAUUCAGGCUAGGAUUAAUCAAGCCCAACUAUGCAACAUGCCAAAAUUAAAUUUGGUGCCUCGUACAAAAGGUAAUUCUUGGAAGAAGCCACAAGCCCCUUUCACCCCUUCAAUGCCCCAAAGGAAGGAAAUUCUCCAAUGGAUUGUGAACAACUUGUAUUUCCCUGAUUGAUAUGCAGCUAAUAUCAUGAGGGGAGUGAAUAUGUCUACAAAGCAAAUAGGAGGCCUCAAGAGUCAUGACUGCCAUGUAUGGCUUGAGCGGAUAAUGCCUAUGAUGAUUCGAGGGUAUGUCAGAGAGGAUAUUUGUCGAGUGCUAGCGGAGUUGAGCUACUUCUUCCGUCAGCUUUGUGCCAAAGAACUAGAUUAUGAAGUGGUUGCAAAGUUGGAGGAACAAGCGCCUGAGUUGCUAUGCAAGUUAGAGAGGAUAUUUCCGCCAGGUUUCUUUAAUCCGAUGCAACAUAUGAUCUUACAUCUGGCGUAUGAGGCUAUAAUGGGAGGACCUGUGUAGUUCCGAUGGCAGUAUGCACUUGAACGGAAGUUCGAUCAUCUCUGUGGCAAAUGUAAUAAUAAAGCCCGCAUUGAAGCCUCCAUAUCUGAGGCAUACCUGAACGAGGAGGUGGCCACGAGCACGACAAAGUACUAUCAUGACAGUAUUCAGACUAGGUUAAAUCUAGCUCCUCGUUACAAUGAAGAACCCACCAGUAAUGUUUUGACCUUAGCCUUUUCGAAGGCCAAGGUGGCAAAGCAAGUGGAUCGAAGCGCUAGAACUUUUCACCGACUAAGUGGUCUACUAUUAUGAUCUAUGUCUUGACCAACAUGGAAGAAGUGCAACCGUACAUAAAGUAAGUGUAGAACACCUUUAUUGACAACUACUCACUAGUCUUGAGUUCUAACUCGAAUUCUUCCCACUGCUAGGGAAUUCCAAAACAAAUUUUGGAAGCUACCACAGCCCCCUAGCGACGAAGAAUCAGCAAACCUUCUUGAAGAUACCAAUGCUGAUGGCGGUUUCAUUUCUUGGUUCUCAAUAAAAGUAAGUUUUCCAACUUUAUGCUACUUCAAGUUGAUAUUACUUGCUGGUAAUUCUUCCACUAAUGAACCAGACAAUCUCAUAUUAAUCUUGUAGGCAUAUCAAGAGGUUGAUAUGGACGCCAAAGUGAGAGAAGUAGCCAAAGGUUUUGAAUACGACGCCAAGUCAUUUAAGGCUUACAACAUGAAUGGGUAUCGCUUCCACAGUGAUAAGCACACAUGUGAGAGGCCCAACCAAAGGUCAAUAAAUAGUGUGGUCUAUUGUCUAGGGACAGAUAGACGUCACUACUAUGGAACCAUCAAAGAAAUUUAUGAGCUGCAGUAUUGUGGUUUACAAGGAGUGAAGCCCAUCGUAUUCAGAUGCAGCUGGCUCAAUCCUGAGAAAGUGAGAUGAACCCCUAGUAUUGGCUUGGUCGAACUUCAACGAGCAUUGAAAUAUGUAGGAAAUGAUGUCUAUAUUAUGGCUCAACAGGCUACACAAGUGUUUUUUUCUCCCAUACGCGUGCACAUCUACAGAAUAUAUCGACCUCUUGAAAUGGGAUGUCGUGUACAAGGUACCCCUGCGUAUCAAGGUACCUACCCCAAACAAGGACAAUUACCAUAUAAACGCUAACACAUAUGAGGGAGAGCUCUUUCAAGAAGCAGACACUCACGAAGACAAAGAUGAUGCAGAGGAAGAUGAUGACAUGCAUCACGAAGAUGAUGCUAUGGAACAUGAGGCCAUGGAUGACAUGGAAGUAGAUAAUGCAGAGGACGAAUACGAGGAUGUUUCUAACCCUAAACAUUUGGCAUUACUUAUGUGAUGGCACAUGGGGCUAGAUGAUGAUGAGGGCCCCCCUGAAGACUUCAAGGAUGAAUGUAUGAACGGGCGUGAUAGCGAUGAUGAAAGCCCUGAUCCAAAUGUUGCACCUAAUAUUGACCCUUAUUUCUAACAACUCCAUGUAAUCGUGCGAGAACUCUAUGUAUGUGUGUCACAACACUAUGUAUUCGUGUGUGUAACAACUCUAUGUAUUCGUGUGUGCAACAACUCUAUGUAUUCGUGUGUGCAACAACUCUAUGUAUUUUUGUGUGUAACAACAAUAUGUAUUAUUGUGACAAUUCCAUUUAUUCUUCAUAUGUGAUAUAUUUAUUGUAUUUACAUCAAGUUAUAUCAUCUGUACUAAUGGGUUUGUUAUUCUUCAUAUCAGGUGAUUGAAACAUGACAGGUAACAACAAGAAUCCAAAGGAAAGUUUGAAAAAAGUGACAGCUCUGUACAAUGAUCAAAUUGCUCGAUCGGUGAAAGCGGUGGCCGCUCCUUCAUUGGUUGCCACAACAGCCAAGAAGGCCAAAGGAUUGGCAGGUCUAGACACCCGUCCGAAAAAACAUGCGAAAAAAGGUCGAGUACCACGCGGGGGAGGAGUAGGAGGCGAACGAGGUGGAGGCGGACGCGGAGGGGGAGUAGGUGAGGCAGGAGGAGGCAGACGAGGAGGGGGGCGAGGAGUGGGAGUAGGUGAGGCAGGAGGAGGAUGUGGACAAGGAGGUGGAUGAGGAGGGGGAGUAUGUGAGGCAGGAGGAGGAGGCCGACGAGGAGUGGGAGUAGGGGGACAAUGAGUGGGGUAGGAGGGGGAGAAGGGGGACGAGGAGGGGGAGUAGGUGAGGAAGGAGGAGGAGGCGGAUGAGGAGUACGUAAAGGAGCCCGGAGUAGAGCACCUCUUUCUUCUCCUGGACCCUCUGAUGUAGUGCUUCGCCGUUCUCAGGAGGAGGAAACAGAGGAUGGGGAUGAGGCGAGUGAGGAGGAGGACGAGGAGCUGGUGGAGGAUGAGGAGGAGGAGGACGCCACCAAGAGGAGGCUGGUUGUUCGUCAGGUUUCUGAGGGUGGGGAAGGACCCUCAGGGGUGACAGAGCACCACAAGGUGAGAGGCUCGCAACCGAGCGGUUCGACUAUGAGCACUACUUCCAGAGGGAAAGUGUGGCUGUGUGGUCCUUCAAAGCUUCCAAGACGUCCAUAUGUGCAUAGAGACGUGUUGAUUAAACCAAUGGGAGAGAAGUGGUUAUCUCGACUCAUCCCAUAUAAAUUGUACCUUUUGUCAUUUCCUCACAUAUAAUAUGACUUGACUCUUGGUAAUGCAGAAGCUUAGUAAAAGGUGGUGAGUGGCGUCUACCACGGUCGUCGAGUGGCAUCAUUGUGGGUCUUUGUAGGUUAAAUUAUCCUGGACUGGUCACUUUGACGAGCGGUAUCAUUGAGCUAGCUUGGUCAUGGGAUCACUAUACAAACUCGCACCGGAUUUCCUGGAUAUGCGUCAGAGGGUUUAUGAUAACAGAGCCUUGUGAGUGGUCAACGAUUUAUGGGUAAGUCCUUUCAAACACCUAAAUGUCAAUACCAAAAGGUUUAAAUUUUCCAUAGUCAUGAUUUUACCCUUCUCACAUGUAUGCAUGUUUGUAGGAUUAGAAGGAUCGUGCGUUUAGGGUUAGAAGGAUCGUGCAAAUGUGGUGGUUGAGAAUAUUGCCAAGAAACUAGUCCACGACAUGCACUAUGAGGAGCACGUCCAGUUAGUGGUCAAGUAUCAUGCGGACUAUCUCAACCAGAAGAUUUCCAAACAGGAGGCUCGAGGGAAGCAUCUUUCACGGGACAAUUACUUCAAGGCAAGUGACGAUGGAAGCUUGCUAUUCCCUACAUUACCGCAAAAUUAGAAUUCUUACUAAGAUGUAUUUGUUUAAUUUACAGGUGAUUCCUCGAUGGUGCGCUGAUAAACGCCCGUGCUGGGAGAAGAUCGUCGAACCGUGGACAAAUCCAGGGUGGCAGGAUGAACACAAAGCAUUAUCUGAACGUCGUAAGUAGAUGGGUUGUCCAGGACACCGUCAAGGCAACCUCACCAUCCCAGGUGUCAUCUCAAAACAUGUAGGCAACCACAUCCUUUUCUUUUCAUCAUGUUCUCUUUCAUUUGUGAGCAUUCCCUUGAUUUUUUGGAUCGCUUUCUUUUGCAGAAAGAAGACACUGGCAAGGAUAUCACUUACUUCGAGGCAUGGACCAUCAAACGUACCAAAGACGACAAGGACAAGGACCCUCUCCACCCGGAGAGGGACUCGAUCAGCUCUAAAGCCUGCUCAGAUGGAGAGAACUACACCAAAAAAUUGAAGGAGACGUACGGGCAAGACGCUGACCCUCUUGUGGCCAUUGCCACGGCAGGCGGUAGACCGAAUGGCCGGAUGGCGGUUCACCUUGAUUCUGUCAUAACCUCCUCCCUUCCAAGAGUCAACACGCUCCGUGCUAUGAGUACUGGCUCUACUCCUACUGUAGAGCGUCACGUACCACAUUCCGUGAGCAUUAUUGAGGAUAUUCAGGUCAGUGCUUCUUCAUUGAUCCUUCAUAGUCCUGCAUAUUUACAUUUCAACAUGAAUGACAUUUGGAUUGCCAUAUUGUAGAAUCGAUUCAUUGACACCGAGAAAGAACGAGACGAAACCGGGCCAAGCUGAAGGCACAAGAUGAUCUAGUGAAGUCUUUACAACAUAUGGUGGCCAAUCUUUAUUCCAUGCAAGGCCAACCAGUGCCAGAGAUGGCACCGACGCCAGAUUGGAACAUUGUGAGUUUCGUUCAAACUAUUUCCAUCACCAUUUUCGGCAUCACCAUAUGCAUUCAUCUCACUAUUGGGUCAAUCCAUCACAGCUCAACCUAACACAAGGGUUGAACAAUGUUCCGAUAGUUCCACCUCAAGUUGGUGUAGUUGGGGCAGCAAACGGAAUGACGCCUUCUAAUGUUAAUGUUAUCACUCCGAUCUCCAAAAUCGCGUGAAUUUCAUGUUAUCUUCUGUUUGAAACCGUUCCUUGUAUGUGCUUGAGAACUCUUGCAUCUUGAGACUUGUAAACUUGUGGUAGUCGAGUGUCUUGACUACUAUUUCACCUUUUAUGCACUGUUGCUUUUAUGUGGAAUGUUUUUCAGAAUCAUUGCUUUUUUUGUUCAAUGAUGCCUAUAUGUGACAUGUUCUAUGUGGGAUGAACUAUAUGUUGCUUCUGUAUAUGUUUCGCUGCAGGAAAGAAACAAAAAUGAAAAAGGCUUCUGGCACACCAUUACCGAGGGUGCCUCUCGGUAACGACUAUGAAACUGGACCAGCAUGCACCCUUUACCAAGAGGAAUCUCGAUAAAAGUGUACCAACCAGUAGAACCUGGCACUUUUACCGAGAGGAUAAUAACCUGUAGUGCUCCUAACAACUUUACCGAGAGGACUCUCGGUAAAGAUAAAAGGAUUGCCGAUGGUGGCCCUCGGUAAAGUAUGGGCACAACUUUUAGGACAAGUGACGUGGCCCUCCCCUAUGGGCUCAGUUUGUCCAGAGGAGCACUCGGCACAGAUGGAGUUUGCCGACGGUGGCUCUCGGCAAAGUCGGCCCUCGGCUUGUUCUCGUGGACCCACAUGUCGAGGGAUGACACGUGUCAGCCUCCUAUUUGGUCUAUUUGCCGAGAGACCCUCUCGUUAAAAUUGGCCCUCGGCCUGUUCUCCUGGGCCCACAUGUCGGGGGAUGACAUGUGUCAGCCUCCUACUGGUUCUCUUUGCCGAGAGCCCCUCUCGGGAAAGUUGGCCCUCAGCCUGUUCUCGUGGUCCCACAUGUCAGGAGAUGGCACAUGUCAGCCUCCUAUUCAGUCUGUUUGCCGAGAGCCCCUCUCGGCAAAGUUGGCCCUUGGCCUGUUCUCCUGGGCCCACAUGUCGGGAGCUGACACGCGUCGACCUGCUAAUGGCUCUCUUUGCCGAGAGGGGCUCUCGACAAAGUUGGCCCUCGGCCUGUUCUCCUGGUCCCACAUGUCAGGAGCUGACACAUGUCGACCUGCUAUUGGCUCUCUUUGCCGAGUGGUGCUCUCGGCAAAGUUGGCCUAUGUGGCAACCGCCAUCCCCGUCUGUUUUUCGUUAGCUACUUUAUUUUGCCGAGCUGUACUGUUUAGCUCUCGGCAAAGACUUUGCCGAGUGCCCGUGUUCUGGUUCUCGGCAAAUUCCUAUUUGCCGGAGAGGUGUACGCCGGGUUGCUUUUGCCGAGGGGGACACUCGGCAAAGGCUUUGCUGACAGAUUUUGGCCCUUUGCCGAGUGUCCGUGGCACCCGGCGUACAACAGAAUUCCAGUAGUGCGUAAGGAAGGUACAUUAGUCAUAUCUGCUUUCAUGAGUAUAAGGGAAUCAUCAGCGAUGGUGCAUUCUUGUAACCUCUAAUCACCAUAAUCCAAUUCAUGGCAUCAACUUCCCCAAAACAACAGUAAACUUGAUAAAGCUUCUGCACACAAAUGUGACAAGGCGAGAGGAGGUCUACUUGCCUAAUAUCAGGUGUUGGGUGUGAAUCUGUAAGGUUGUUGAGAGUUAGGAUGGGAGAAAGUUGCCUGAUUUGUUUUUUUUUCCUGCAGAACAUAAAAGUCCGCCCCGUCUUCUGCCACUAGGGUCCACAAUUUUAACAUCCAUCUUCAACAGCUUGCGUAAAAUAAAAAUAAAAAAGUAAUUAUGUUUCGGAACCAGGAAAAACCAGAUUGAUGUGCGUGUUCAUUUUCAAAAUUACAAUAGCACUAAAGAGUCGUCUGGUAAUCAUUGUGUGUGUGUGUGUGUGUGUGUGUGUGUGUGUGUGUGUGUGUGUGUGACAAAAACAACACCUUGGAAAUUGCUGGUUUAUUACCUAGACCCCGGGCCGAUGGUGGAAGAAGUGAAAGGUCUGCUCCGAACCAGUAAGGAGUUUAGGGUAGUUUGCGUGCGUCGUUCGGCUAAUAACAUGGACCUGGCUAGCGAGCGGCUGGGCACUCGUUCGCAAGAUCGAGUACACCUGCUGUUUUGGGAAAGAGAGGAAAGAAUCUGGAGAUACGCCAGAAAAAGGAAAGAACCGAGGGCACAUGGUCCCCUCGCGUCGCGCACGCACAAACCAGCGCAUGCCCACCCGAACCAUGCGCCUCACCUGGUCCCCCUCUCCGCUCCAACGCCAAGUCCCCAGUGCUCCAGCCCGUCGCCCUUCCCUCUCCUUCUCCCACCUAACCCUCUCAUGAAUCGUCUGUCCUUAAGAUUUUACUACUAGUAAAAAGCUUGGCAACCAUAGCGCCUUGAACAAAGCUUCUUUCCCUCCUCCCCAAAAUGCGCCGAUCAAAUUGCAGCAAAAAUCAGGUGACAAAACACACCCCUCUCCAUCCCUUCCCCAUCCUCCCCUUUUCACCCUUUUAAUUACUGGGAAUACUUGAACAACAAAAAAGAAUAGGUUGAUGAUCAAUAAAAACUUGAUUUGGCUCUUUUCACACAUAUAGAUAAGCAAUUGGACAAAAACACAAUUGCCUGCAAGAACUUGAAAAGACACCUAUCAAAAAUCUAGGCAACUAUGUACCAAAAGUAGAGAGCCUAUAAAAAUAGUUCAUGCAUGUAUGCGCCAUGGAUCACGUUGUUUUCAAAGGCUUGAAACCACACAAGGCAACUUUACCUGUGAUUUCGCACAACCCGUAUUAAAAAUUUGAAGCAGCUAUUAUCAGGCAUGUAAAAAGGACUGCUGCCCCAUAUAAAUUCCUUGUGGUAAAAAUACCAUGCAACCAUGUGCAGAAGUAGAACAAAUGCAGCAACUUUGUGAUUUCAGGCAACUCAUGCUAAAAUUUGAAGCAACUAAAAAGGAUGGCUGCUGCCCCUAUAAGCUCCUUGCAAUAAUACCAGGCAACCCUUGUACAAAAAAAAACCCACAAAACAACAAGUAGAGGACAACAUAUAUAGGUGGCAGUAACACAAAUAUAUAGGUGCAUUAUAUACACAAGUAUAAAAAAAUAAAAAACACGAUCGCAUAUACCAAAGUGUACUAGCCAUAGGUUUGCAAUGGCUACUAUUUUCUUCCCUGACAUGGAACCUAAAACACAAUAUGGACUGAAAAAAGACUUCACAUACCACUAGGUCGGCACUACACCUCCAAGAAUUCAUCGCACUAUAACCUCUAUGGAAAAGAGAAGAAAUAAAAAUUCAUUGAUCUUGGCGGUAAAAAAUGUUGAUGAAAAAAAGAACACUUGUAUAGAAAAUGCACAAAAAACAGGCAAUCAUUAAAUAAUCUAGAAAACNNNNNNNNNNNNNNNNNNNNNNNNNNNNNNNNNNNNNNNNNNNNNNNNNNNNNNNNNNNNNNNNNNNNNNNNNNNNNNNNNNNNNNNNNNNNNNNNNNNNNNNNNNNNNNNNNNNNNNNNNNNNNNNNNNNNNNNNNNNNNNNNNNNNNNNNNNNNNNNNNNNNNNNNNNNNNNNNNNNNNNNNNNNNNNNNNNNNNNNNNNNNNNNNNNNNNNNNNNNNNNNNNNNNNNNNNNNNNNNNNNNNNNNNNNNNNNNNNNNNNNNNNNNNNNNNNNNNNNNNNNNNNNNNNNNNNNNNNNNNNNNNNNNNNNNNNNNNNNNNNNNNNNGCCCCCUUUCAAAUUCCCCCUUGCCUUUGUUUUUGAAAUAAUCAUGUGGGCAAUGAAAGAACAUGGAUAAAACUCUCUUAAAAAAGGUUAGGAACCAUGGUUGCAACUGUAGUAAAGCAAGUAAUUGUAGUUCCUCAUGGACAUUAGAUCAUACCCCUUUUCACAUAAUCACAUGGGUAGUAGGAACAAAACUGAAGCAACUCUAAUUGUAAUUGCGGGUAACUCAUGCUAAAAACUGGAGAAACUAGUUGCAAACAGUUCCUGACAGUAAGAAUUAAUUGGGGAGUGACACAAGAAUAAGAGAUGAUAGACUAAAGAUAACUGGGAAGAAUCCCCUAUAAAUUUAGUAAAAUGAAACCAACUUUUCUUGCAAUUCCGGGCAACUCAUGUUAAAAAUUGGAGCAACUAAUUGCAGUAGUUCCAUGAAAGUAGGAACCGGUUUGUAGAGUAACAAAUCAAAAAGGUCGGCUCAAGAUCACUGAAUAUAAAGCCCCCAUGUAUUCAACAAAAAUUGAAGCAACUUUAGUUGAAAUUUGCACUCAUUUUAUGGAGUAACAAGAAAUAGAAAAGGCAGACUGAAGAUCAAUGAAUAUAAAGCCCCUAUGUAUUCAGUAAAAACUGAAGCAACUUUAGUUGAAAUUUGCACUCAUUUUGUGGAGUAACAGGAAAUAGAAAAGGUAGACCGAAGAUCACUGAAUAUAAAGCCGCCAUGUAUUCAGUAAAAAUUAAAGCAACUUUAGUUGAAAUUUGCAGACAAACGCGUGCUUGUAACUAAAACAACAAAUUCCGAAACAGUGAGUUUACGACAGUAAAAUCAGUUGUAUCUCAGGCAAAACAAACACCAAAACCCCCUGAGUUGCCUGGAACACAUUCAUUUCAUUUUACAAAGAAAAAUAAAAAGGUGACAGUAGCAUGUAUAUAGGAGCAUUAUAUCACAUAAAAAAGCAAACAUAUGUAGGUGCCAUGGGCUGGUUUCCUUCAGGUGGACAAAGGUUACAAAGAAGAUAGACUGAAGACACACUUUCAGUUUUUGCAUCCUAAAAAAGGAAAUAAACUAUUUUGUAACGUGAAUUUGUUUCCACACCUCUCGAUCUCCACUGCCUAUGUUUUUUGAGAAACUACUGGUAUGGACCGAGAAACUCCCUCUAUCGUGUGAUGCAACUAAUGUUGUAUUUUUUAGAAUUACUUCCUAUGCAUUUCUCUUCGCCCGUUUCGGUUGCCUUCCUUCUUCAUAUUCAUCGUCUCAUCAAAAGUAUAUCUGAAAAACCACGGGUACCUCCUGUUAAUCGACCAUUUCGCCCUGUGAAGCAUCAUGUUGAGCGUCCCUUUCGCUUGUAACUCAAUAUAGAAAAACACAUAAUGCAAAACUGUUCUAGCAAAAGAAAACGAAGCAACUAACCUAGCAAAAACAAGCAAUUGUCCUACCAAAACCAAGAAACUCUCCUAGCAUCACUACUUAGAUUAUCUACAUUAGGUAGAGAAAAAUAUAUGAGCAAGUUGAAUAUCCUUUUAUGGACAACUAUCCAAUCUACUCUCCCCUUCUCAUCUACCUUCUCGUAUGUUGUAGAAAAAAAUCAAAGCAACUCAAUUACAAAAACCACAAAAAGUGGAAAACUAUUCUAGCAGAAACAGGCAGAUAUCCCUAGCAUUACUACUUAGAUUGUCUAUUUUAAGCAGAAAAAGCAUAUGAGCAACUUGAAUAAACUUUGACAACUAUCUUACCCCCUCCCCCAUGUAACUUCUCAUCUGUUCUGGCAAAAAUCCAAACAACUCAACUACAAAAGAACACAAAAAUGAAACUGUUCUAGGAAAAAAAUCCAAGCAACCCUCCUAGCAAAACGAAGCAACUGGAUUACAAAAAGACCAAAUGCAAAAAAAAACUGUUCAGAAUGAAUCCGAGCAAAUUCCCCAGCAAAUCUAAGCAAUUGCGUUAUACCCACAAAAUGCAACUCUUAUAAUGAAAUCCAAGCAACUACUCUGACCCCUAUAGUGAGAAGUCACGUUGUGAAUCCAACACUACCCACCCCUAGUGAAAUCCAAGCAGAAUGUAUGAUAGACUUACACUUGUACAUGUUGUUUUGUUCUGCCCACCAAGUUCCCUGAAACAUGAUCCUUCUAAACAAACGAUAAUACAUGCUAUUUUCUGUACAAUUAUAUUCUAGAAAAUAACUUUUUGGAAACUUAGAUAGUUUGUUAGAAAUCAAACUGCCUGAUGACCCACGUAGUUGCAUUCACAUGAUGCAUGCUUUGACUGAUUCUUUUGUUUAGGAUCACAAAUAUGUGAUCAGUGUCAUUUCAACAUACAAAGCUGACUGCAUGAAGAACCUUGUGUGUAUGCAACAUACAGGAGGGAAUCAACAAAACAAGAGAUGGUGGACAACUAUAAAUGGUUAUCAAUUGGAUCCGAUCUGCGCAUGUAGGAAACAUCAUCCUCAAAGUGCCAUCUGAUCUUGUGAGUAACUCUAACACUAGCGAAAAGCAACCACUUGGCCUGCCGCCGCUCAUUAACAUCUCCUCUCUCGUCAGCUACAAAUUUUUGAGCAACUCUCACAGCCGUAUUUAGAUACUACAUACUACUAGUUCAGUGAAUACAACUUCUGUAGAAAUUUACCCCUCUAGCAGCAAGCCAGCCGUGAACACCAGCCGUGCCCAUCUAGUCGAAGAACGCAGAAGGCCCAGAGCUCCGGGUGCGCCCUAGUGGACACGCACAUGGACUCGUUCGCCCCGACCAACAACUCGGCGUCGCAGAUGUCGCUCCUUCCAUUGCGCCCCGUCCAGGAGCCUUACCUUGAAGGACCACGCCAGCCGGCACCCUCCCGUGGUCUCCAUGGAAUCCUUGAGCACCAACAUCAGCGCCCGUCUAGUGGAGGGAGGUAGGACGGGCUGGCGACCACGGCGCAGGGGACCGAGGGAGCAGGCCCUGCCGGGAGUGGCGUGCAUCCCCAGGAGGAGGGGGUGGUCGGGCGCGUGCUGGGCGUGGCGCUCGUCGCCUGGAGUAGGUAAGAGGAAGCGGCGGCCGGGGGUUUGCUUGGCGCGACGCGCGUAGAAGGGAGGAGGACCAAGCGGCAGCCCCGUAGCCGGGAGGAGGAGCGCGACGGAGGGGCUUGGCCCGGAGGAGCAGCGGGGGCGGUGGUCGUAACUCCAUGCCUCCAUGGAGGAGGCUUGGGGCAGCAGGUGGUGGGUGAGUGGAUAAGGAGUGCGAGGUGGCUGACUUUGUCUAUAGCGCGUGCGCUCAAGAGAAAAUUUAGGUAAUAAGAGCAUCUCCACUCGUUGGCCCCCCAGAGGCAUAAAAAUCGCCUUCUGGGGCCGAGCCGGCGAUAGAAUCGGCACUGGGGGCGAUUGGGCGUCUAGUCGUCGGCUCCGGGCACCGAGAUUGGUCCAGUUUUCGGCCCACUUUCGGCGAAUAAAAGGCCCCAUAUGAGCGACAAUCGGCCCAUAUUCAAUUAUGAACAUAAAUAUUUUUUUUAUUACAUAGUUCAUCACAGAAAAUCAAAUAGUUCAACAAAAUAGUGCAACAACAAAUAGUUCAAUACAAAUUUUAUUAUUCAACAAAUAAAAACUCAUAUUUCAUCACACGUCGAGUCCGGCGUCGCCCUUGAGCCUCCAAAGGUGCUCCACCAGAUCCUGCUGCAGUUGAUGAUGCACCUGUGUGUCUCGGAUCUCCUGAUGGAUACUGAGAUAGGCAGUCCAGGUUCCCGGUAGCUGGUGAUCAACUUUGGCUAGAGGACCCUGCAUGUAGUAUGGUUUAGUGUCAAACACUGGCUCUUCCUGCUCGCUCUCGAUGAUCCUGUUUUGCAAGAUAAUAAAACAAGUCAAGAUCUCCCACAUUUGAUCUUUCGACCACAUUGGAGCACAACAAAAGCCCUCUCGGCAUCCGUCCUGCAAGCCUCCUGCACCUUGGCAAAGUGGGACUUCUUGCCUCCUGGCACAGCGUUUGAGACAGUCUUCACAAAUGUAGACAAUUUCGGAUAGAUGCCAUCAGCUAGGUAGUACCCCUUGUUAUAGUGCCGCCCAUUGACCUCGAAGUUCACCGGAGGAGAAUGACCUUCAACAAGCUUGGCAAAGACAGGAGCGCAUUGCAGCACGUUGAUGUCAUUGUGAGUUCCUAGCAUACCAAAGAAGGAGUGCCAAAUCCAGAGGUCCUGUGCGGCCACCGCCUCAAGUACCACACUGCAACCGCCUUUGGCGCCUUUGUACAUCCCAUGCCAAGCAAAUGGGCAGUUCUUCCAUUUCCAAUACAUGCAGUCGAUGCUUUCAAGAAUCCCAGGAAAUCUUGUUGCUGCAUUCUGUGCUAGGAUCCGAGCAGUGUCUUCCGUAUUAGGGGUUCGCAAGUAUUGCGGUCCAAACACUGCCACCACUACCCGACAGAACUUGUGAAAACACUCAAUGCUGGUGGACCCGGCCAUGCGCCCAUAGUCGUCGAGUGAAUCACCAGGAGCUCCGAAUGCAAGCAUCCUCAUCGCCUUCGUGCACUUCUGGAUCGAGGUGAAUCCAAGUUUGCAUGUGCAAUCUUUCUUGCACUUGAAGUAGUUGUCGAAUUGCCGGAUGGAAUUCACAAUCCUAAGGAAAAGCUUUCGGCUCAUCCGAUAACAGCGCCGAAACGUUUUGUCGCUGUGCAGUGGAGCGUCGGCGAAGUAGUCGGAGUAGAGCAUGCAGUAGCUUUCGAGACGAUGCCGGUUCUUUGCUUUCACCCGCCCCGGCACCGAGCCACCUCACCGCGACUUUUCAUUGCUCGCCAGCAGUUAGGCGAGGGCGGCGAGCACCAUGAGAUUCUCUUCCUCCUGGACGUCAGCCUCGGCUUCCUCCUCCAGUAGCGUGGCGAGCACUUCCUCGUCAUCCGAGUCUAUCUCGCCGAGGGAGGCAAAUCGCCGAACACCUUGCACGCUGGUGGGCGUGUACCCGCCGCUAAACUGCCCCUCCGCGGCAGGAAACGCCCAGCUGCUGGUGGAGGGGCUGCCUCGUGAACCUCUGCUAUUUUUCCGGCGGGAUUGGCUAUCUAGCGGUGAAGGGCGGCGAUCGGCGCCGGGAUACAGCUAGUGGCGGCCGAGGGAGCGGGGGUGGGAGGCGAGAUGGGUAAGAAAGACUUGACUUUUCACCUGACGGGGUGGGCCAGCCGCACUUUUCGCUUAUGCCGGAGCCCCGAUCAUCCCCGAGUGUGCCGGGUUCGGCCUGCGAGCGCUGGACCCAAAAACGGGCCGAACCGGCACUUUUUGACGUCCUGGAGGCGCGACUGGGGCUUUUUUUGUUUGCGCCGGCACCGAAAAAGUUGUCUGGGUGGCUGUUGGGGACGCGACCGGAGAUGCUCUAACAUAGCACAUUGUCUAGCUAGAAGGUUGUGCAAAUGAACUGUGUAAAUCUUGGUUUUCUAGUCCACGGGAUUAUAUUCGUCCGUGUUUAAACUUAGAUCUUGCCACCCCGCAAAAAGAAAACUCAGAUCUUGCCGAGAUGAUUGAAGGCAACAUCUUCAAGCUCAAUAAAAGAAAAAAAAGAGAGAGAAGAACUCGAUCGAACAACCAGUACUAGCCUUAAAAAGGUCGGUUAUGUAACGUUCCUGGAUCCAACUACCGCUCAUUAUUAUAAUUGGCUCAUCACGUCUGCUCCCGGAUCACGCCGCAAUGCCUGCAGGAGGUUGGUCUGAUCUACCGCCGGAUCUGGCCCGCGAUAUCUCCGGCCACCUGCAGCACGAUACCGUCGACUUAGUCCGCUUCCACGCCAUCUGUAAGCCAUGGCGGGACUGCCGGACGAUGACGGCGACGGACCAGUUUCUGCCCUACCUCGUCACGGCGGUGAAGGAAGAAGCGAUGCGCCUCGAGAUGAGGUGCGUCCUCUCCGGGUGCAACUACCGCUCGCAGCCGCUGCUAUCUCAGCUGGCCCGGUGGAACUGGGUGACCAGCCGCGGCGGCACCGCCCUCCGAUGCCUGACCAUCGAACGCCUCCGCCCUAGCCUCCAUCACCCUCUCACAGGGGCCGCCGAACAUCUGCCUCUACUCCCUCAAUCCCUCGGCCUGCGGGAGGAGAUCUUUUCCCACGGCGUCAUCUACGGCAAUGGCGUGACCCUUCUCUACAGUAUCUCCAACAUCACCUGCGCCUGUUAUAGCAUCACCUGCACCUGAUAUAGCAUCACCUCCACGGCUAGGUUCAGGGCGGCUCUACUUCGCCCAAGUGACGCAGACUGGACAAUCCUCGAGAGGACCCUCGAGUAUGAGCAUCGCUUCUGGGGCGGGUCACCUCAUCAACCUGUUCUGUCGUGCGUCACAUACCAUGAUGGUAAGAUCCUGGUUCUCAUUGAGGCUGACAAAUGGUGGCACCGCAUCACACCAAACAGCAAUGUUGCCCGCGAUGAGCUUGUCAAUAGCCAGGGGACGCCGGUGGCGCAGGUGUGGUUUGGCGAAUCCACCAGCGAUUAUAGCUACGUCCUUGAAUCCCAUGGCGAAAUCCUAUGGGUGUCAAUUAACACCCGGGAAUAUGACAGGUAUCUCAUGGAGACAAAGCCCUACCUCCUCAAAGUCAAGGUGUCAGUGCAGGCACUCGAGGAGCCUCUAUUGUCAGAAUCGUCGGCACUGGAGAACAUGAGAUGGGUGAAAAGGGAUGGCCGUAGUCUGGCUGACCGCGUGCUGUUCCUUGGUACGCGCCAUAGCUUUGUUGUGGAUGCGGGGAGGGUGCCCAACGGCCACGGCGGGUGUGCCUACUUCGUCUACCACAAUAAUAACGCCUUUACAUAUGGGAAGCGUGAUGUCUUCAGGUGCAACCUCAUCAAUGGCAGGACCGAGCUUGUACAACGGCUGCCUCAAUGUUGGGACUACAAAAUGUGCAUGUGGUUCAACCCCAAGUCGGUCAUUACUCCUCCCCAGGUACCUCUAUAUACACUGCUAAAAAGGGUUCGAAUUUCUUAAGUUGGAUAUCUCUUACAAUAAAAUCUCCUGUAAUAUGCUAUUAUUAGUUGCAUCAAUUGCUCCCUCCCAGGUCAUUUCGCUCCUCGUUGCCCCACUAUCCGCUGCGAAAAAUGCAACAAAUUAGGUCAUAUGGCUCAGCUUUGCCAGGUUCUGAGGCCUUGGGAAUGCAUUCCAUCCAUGUGUGGUUUUCAGUCGCCUGGUCAGGGAUUCUUCUAUAUACCUGAUAUGUGUGCUGCUAAGCAUAGUGUUGAAAAAACUAAUAAUGUGGUGAUUACUAUAGUUGAGGGGGAUGCUACUGUGAAAGAUAUUGAGCAGGAAUUCAAUGCUAUAUUUGCCAAGAAAACUGGGAAAAAGAAAUGGUGCUGUACAACCCGCUCUAUUGGCCUUUCUCAAUAUGUGAUGCGAUUCCCUAAUGCUAGUGAAGUAGAGAGAGCAUGUUGUUAUGGGAAACGCUUGCCUUUGAAAGAGGGGACUAUUGUGGUCUGUAUUACUCCUUGGACUGCUUCGAUUGGAGCUAAAGGCAUCAUGGAAAAAUCCAGGGUUAGGGUGCGUAACAUUCCUAUAGAGAAAAGAUGCACUGAACAUAUAGCUUAUGCUAGGGCUCUGGUGGGAAUUACAUUGGAAGUUGAUGAGUCUACUGUCCAUAAACCUGAAUAUGCUAGAAUCCUUCUUGGUUGUAGAGAUGUUGAGAAAAUUCCCCCUUCGGCUGAAGCAAUGCUGGGAGAACAAUAUUAUGAUUUCUUUUAUGAGCUUGAAAAAGUUGUGACUAUGGGUGCUGAGAAAAGCCAAUCUUACACUGCUGUUGAUAGCAGUGCAUCUCCAUCCUUCCCCAAGAAAGCGAGGAUGGAUUCAUAUCCUGCUUCUUCUAUGGGGCAGGGGGAAACGAGUACAUCUAUGAUUGGUAACUUCUCCUCUCAGAAUUAUGAUAAGGGUAUGCAGAGGCUACCUGCCGUAGCUGAAAGUGAAGAAGAAGAGGAAUGUGAUGAAGGUAAGAAUAUGGAGCUACUAAUUGAAACUAUGGCCAGAGACCAUGCAGCUGAGAAAAUGUCUUAUUGUGGCUCUCAAUCUGGUAAAGUAUCGUGUGAGAAUGUUUCUGAUGAACUGGAUGUGGAAGAGAUGACUGAUUCUCCCAGUAAUGAGAUUAGUAUACACUAGCAAAUAUGCCCGUGCGUUGCAACGGAAGAAAAAAUUACACGUUGGUCAAUAUCCGACAUAUGAAUGUCCUCUAUUUUAACACGAUGGCUCACCAUGUUGCCAAUUAUCUUUCUUCUCAUUCUCGUUGAUGAUGGAUGCAAAAUCCACGUGAUCGCAAUGCAUUCAACGUGGUAAAAAAUGGGCUUGUCACUAUACGACACACUUGUCAUUGUCUCGCGCAAGGGAAUGUUUUGAACUUUGAAAACAAAUCUCAUCGACCAUGGACUACUCGCCAACCCCAAGACAUAUAAAGAAUUUCCAAAAUUAAUCAAAUCCUAGAUAUAAAAUACAUCUGAAUAGGAAGAGUUUUUUGAAUCGACAAACAUUCUUUUUAAAUUUAGACAUUUUUUUAAUUCACAAACAUUUGUUUUUUAGACGAACAUUUAUUGAAAUGCAUGAAUAGUUUUUGAUUUCAUGAUGACUCAGAUUCACAA